UAGAACAAGUUUUUCUUAGGUUUAUAAACAACACUUUAUCUCAAGAUUCUCUAAGACACACAUAAACCUAAUAUUUGAUUUAAUCCUCAUUUUAGCCCUCUGAGUCUUAUUCCCAUCUUAUACAUGAGGAAAUUAAGGAACUGGUAACUUAACAUUCAUCACAGCAUAUAAUAGUAAAAUACUACAAAAUGAAAGGAGAGAAUAUAAAUUUCCAAUGGUAGGCAAAUUGCAUUAAAUUAAUUAUGGUACAUUCAUUUGAUGCAAGUAUUUUAAAAACAUUCAUUAUCACCUUAAUAUGUUCUCUUCCAUUCCUAGUUUGCUAAAAGUCUCUAUCAUAAAUAGAUGUUGAAUUUUAUUAAAUGUUUUUCUAUAUCUACUGAGAUGAUCAAAUGAUUUUAUCCUUUCAUCUGUUAAUUUUAGUUUGCAUGAAUGGAUUUUCUAAUGUUAACCUACCUUGCAUUGCUGAGAUAAAACCAACUUUGUAAUGAUGUGUUAUCUUUUCUAUACUUAGCUAGAUUUAAUUUGCUAAGCUUUAGUCAUAAGUGAGAUUGGCUCAAAAAUUUUUUUCUGUGAUUUUUUUUUUCAGGAAUGCUUUUCAAAAUAAUUGAAAUUACUUGCUACUUGAAUGUAUGGUGGAACUUGACAGUAACACAGUUUGGGCCAGAUGUUUUCUUUGAGAAAAGAAGUUUUACUAACUGAUGUAGUUUCUGACUUAUUUAGGUUUUCUAUUUCUUCUUGAGUCAGUUUUGUUACAGUUUCAGUUACAUGUACAUGUUUUUGUUGAAUAUAUAUGCAGGAGGGGAAUUUCUGGAUCAUAAGGCAGGCAUAUGUUCAGUAGAUACUAUCAAACCAUUUUCCAAAAUGAUUGUAUCGGUUUAAAAAUUUAUACUCCAGGAGUGUAUGAGGGUUCUAAUUAGUUCACAUAUUUUCCAAAACUAGGCGUUUUCCGUUUUUGUUUGUUUGUUUUAGUUAAGCUUUUCUGGUGGGUAUGUAGUAAUAUCAUAUUGUUUAAAUUUGCAUCUCCCUAUAGACUAAUGAGGUUAGGCACCACUUUGUAUGUUGACCAUUUGGGUAUCUUGUUUUGUGAGAAGCCCCUUCGGGUCUUAAAAAUGUGAAAAAAAAUUGUGUUGUUUUAAAAAUUAAAUUACCUUUCUUACUGAGUUGUAGGCAUUUUAAAUAAUAUAUAUUUUAGUUAUAUCCUUGGUAGGAAAUAUGUGUUACAAAUAGCUUCUCUUUUUCCGUGGUUUACCUUUUUACUCUUUUUUUAGGAACAGAAAUUUAUUGUUCUAUGAAUUUCAUAUAUUACUUUACCUUUACAUUUCUAUCUAUAAUAUAUCUGGAAUUGAUUUCAUUGAACAUGGUGUGAAGUACACCAUGUAAAGUGUUAAUUUUUUUUAUGUGAAGAUUCAGUUGAUUAAGCACCAUUCUUUUGCCAUGGCACUAUGUAUCUAUUUUGAUUAGGAUUACUGAGGGAUGAUGAACACAUAGUAAAAUUCAUUCUCUUAAAAUAAAUGGUUUGAUAAAUUUUGAACAAUGUAAUCAUUGUUUUACCUCACAAUCAAGAGGUAGAAUGUAUCUAACACCUGAAAGUGUGCACCUUUGUAGAAAAUCUACUCCCUCUACCUCUAGCCUGUGACAACCACAAGCUGGAUUUGUCUCUAUGGUUUACCUUUUUUCCAGAAUGUGUAAAUGGCAUCAUAUAGUAUGCAGCCUUGGUUUCAGAUUUUUUUCACUUGGCAUAUUGGUUUUUUUUGAGAUCCAUUCAUGCUGUCAUAAGUAUCAGUGGCUUAUUCCUUUUAUUAUUGAGUAGAAGAAUUCCAUGGAAUAAUAUACCACAAGUUUAUCCAUUUACCAAAUGAGGAACAUUUGGGUUGUUUACCAUAUUUAGCUACUAGGAAUACAGCUGCUACAAACAUUCAUAAAGAGGCCUUUGUGUGAACAUACGUUUUCCUUUCUCUUGGGUAAAUUACUAGGAGUGGGAUUAUUGUAUCAUAUGGAAAGUAUAGCAAGUAUAUGUUAAACAUUAUUCUAAAAUAUCCCCAAACUGUUUCCAAAAUGACUGUGCCAUUUUACAUUCUAAUCAGCAAUAUAUGAAUGUUUUAGUUGCUCCAUAGCUUAUCUAGCACUUGGUAUUAUCACUCUUUGUAAUUUUAACAAUUGGAGUAUAUAGUAUUAUCUCAUCAUGGCUUUAAUUCUCAUUUCCCUAAUGAUAUUGUGCUACUUUGCCAUCUGCAAAUCUUCUUUGGUGAAGUGUCUCUUCAAAUCAUUCAUCCAUUUAAAAGAUAAUUUGUCUUAAUGGUAUGUAACUACUUGGAAUAUAUUCUGGAUACAAAUGCUUUAUUAAAUAUGUGCUUUGCAAAUAGCUUUUCUCAGUUUCUAGUUUUUUUUUUUAAGUUCUAAAAGUAUUUAAAGAGUAGAAAGUUUUUCAUUUUGGUGAAUUUCAAUUUAUCAAUUUUUAAAAAUGGAAGAGUAGUUUUAAGUACUAUUUAGGAAAUCUUUGCUAAAACGAAUGAUGCAAAGAUUUUCCUAGAAAUUUUAAAGCUUUAAGCUUUAUAUUUAGUUAUGUGAUCCAUUUUCAGGCAAUUUUUAUGUCUUUUGUGAGGUCAGGAUAAAGAAUAACUUUUUAUAUGGAUGUCCAAAUUUUCCAGCACCACAUAUUGAAAAAAUUACCCUUCUCCCAUUUUAAUUACUUUACAUCUCUAUCUUUGUCUCCCCUCUUUGCUACUCUAAUUAUAUGCAUAUUGGACAAUUCCAUACUGUUUGACAACUCUUGCAUGAUCUUUUUGUUAAUAAAUAUUCUUUCUCUUUGGAUUUCAGUUUGGAUAAUUUCUAUUAGUCUAUCUUUAAGUAUAUUUGUUUUCUAUAGCUUCCCUUUCUCAUAUAAGAUUCUUCAUCUUGUCUUGCAUUUUCUCUCUCUUUUCCAUGACAGCCUUUAGCAUAUUAAUCAUAGCUAUUUUAAAGUCUCUGAUUGUUCUAAUAUCUGGCCAUCUCUCUUUCUAGCUCUGCUGAUUGCUUUAUCUUGACAAUGAGUUAAGGUUUUUUUGCUUUUUUGAGUGUCUUGUAAUUUUGAUUGCAUGUGGGACAGUGUUUGUAGGAGAGCAGUGGAUAACAAAGUAAAUGAUAUUGCUAUUGUACCCAGAUUGGAUAUACUUUUUCUUCUGUAAGAUUGUUGGUAUGAAGGUUGAAUCAAUCUUGUUAGUCAUUAACAAGACUGGUAGUUAGUAUUGAGUUUGGGUGGAGUUCAGUUUGUGAUUGCUGUAGUUACUUUCAGUGUACUAGACUCUAAAGUUCUCUAGUGGUUGACUGCAGUGACCUUAUGCUUGGCUUGCCAGAGGGUUUUCUCCAUGUCUAAGCUCCACCCUUAGCUUUCAGCAGACUUUUCACCCUUGCUUUACAAAGGUGACCUCUCUCUCCAUGUUUGUGCUCUUUUCCUAGCAGUAGAUUGCUCUGGUUCAUUGUGCUGGGCAGAGCUGUGGAGGUGGUGGUGAGUUCUCAGUUCACGUGGAUCAGCCCCAGUCUUAGGUAGGCCUUUUGUUUCUGGGCCUUGGGACUGCAGCUUUGUUAGUGUUCCUGCUCUUCUUCAAGGCAGCCAAGCUUUGCCUUGUAUCUGUGGAGUGUUUUGUGUGGGAGAGAGUUUCUUGCCCUUCCUUCAAUGGUAACAGACCUUUUGUUUGUGUUAGUGCAGGAUCCUGGACCUGCAAGUUUCUUUUCCUUCCCUUAGGGCAGAUGGCAGGCUUUUGCUUGUACCCCUUCCCAAGAAUCAGUGGAUCUUUGCUUGGGCCUUGGGGCUAGGAAGGUGUUUUGCUUCUCUACCAGUUGUUGAAAGCUUUUGCUUAAUGUGAAAUGAAGUUUGGGAAGUGGAUGGAAUUUCCUGCCUGUGCUCUACUAAAAGGAGAACUCCCCAAUCUCCAGCCCUACCCUUUUUCUUUUAAAUGAGCAUUCAUUGCAGAGUCCUGGCAAAAAGCUUGAGGGAGACCUGGGGCUCAUCUCAUGUUUCUGAGGCUCCCAGUGAUACCGUCAUACUAGCCCACACUUGCCCUUUAGAAAUUCAUUAACAUUUUAGCUGUUUUCUUAUUCCUGUGUUCAUGAUGGCUGCCUCUUCCUACUGUGCCCUGCCAAAGGGGACAGUGUGUGUGACCCCUUCCACCUUGGAAGGACAUGUCACUCUUGGUAAACUUAGUUCACUUGGUUGCCUUGUGUCCUUAGCUCUCUAAUGGGCUCAAUACAAGCAUGAUUUUGUUGAUGGUGAAGCUUUUCUUGUUGUUAGGAUGAGAGUGAUGUUCUCCCUGGUUUUCUGUAUCUUACUUGGUUGUAGAACUGUGUUGCAACUUUUUAAGAGUCACUGGUUUGAAUAAAAAUUUUGGUUGUAAAUACAGUUGCCAUUCAAAAAUGAAUGGAAACUGAAUCAAAAGAAGGCAAUAAAACUACAGUCUAAAACUUAAUAGGAAAAUUGAGAGGACUUAAAUUUUAUUCUUUUCUUGGGUUGGCUGUGUUUGGCAGUUUUCUUUGUUCCUUCUCAGGAAAUACAUGGCUACAAUGGCAGGAAUAUCGCAAUAGAAUAGCUUUAUUCUGAGGUCUGUGGUAAAGGAGAGGAAGAUUGGCUUCUCCCUGCCAUAAAUACCUUCAAGACAGGGUGAUGAGAAAGGGAGAAAAAUGAAAAAAAUCCAAAAAUGAGACAGUAGAAUGGGCAUUCUGGGGAAGUUUACAGAUUCUCAGAAGAGGGGUAUACAAUUAAAGAUCCUAAAGAAGGACUGCUGAUGUCUAUGGGGUCAAGAAGUGCAUCAUUCUAAUUCCAGAACUUACUGAUAUCCUAGCCAUCUCGGGAGCAUCACCUCAAGUUUCAGCUUCAAUAUAUUAACCAUCUACAUCCCUGCUAUUGCUAUUCCAAGGGUGGUCCAGGGGCCAGCAUCAUCUGCACGCACUGAGAUCUUGUUAGAAAUGGAAAAUCACAGGUUCCAUCUCAGACCUGAUGAAUCAGAAUCUGCAUUGCAACAAGAUCCCUGAAUGAUUCUUGUGAACUAGAAUGUUUAGGAUGUGUACUAGAUGUGGUGUUUUACAUAAUCAUGGUUUCUAUGUUUUUUGUAGUCAACUUCGUAUUUGAGAUUAAAAUCUCUCAAAGUCAAAAUGUUGUGAAGGUAACUCUACUGUAAGAAUAAUCUGGGGGUAUAGUGCACAGAAUUAAGGCAUUUAAAUGCAUUUCUAGUUAAAUUAUCAGUUUAAUUAAUUAUUGAUACACUUAUUUAAAACUUAUUAUUUUUCAACAUUGUUUUUGAGGUUUGUGGUCCUAGCAUUUAAAAACGUUAACUCUUUUUUGUAGCAGGGAUUUUUCUGGUGCUUUCUCUCAUAAAGAGGUUUUUUUUCCUUUUUUAGACCUAUUGCUAUGAUCCAAACAUUUUUAUAACCCCCAGAAUUCAUAUGUUGAAACCCAACCCCUAAAGAGAUGGUUUUAAGAGGUGAGAGUCUUUGGGAGGUAAUUAGAUUAUGAAAAUGGAGCCCUCAUGAAUGGAAUUAAUGCCAUAAUAAAAGAAACUGGUGGGAAUUUUGCCCCUUCCAUCAUCUGAAGAUAUAGCAAGAAGGUACCAUCUAUAAAUCAGGAAGAGGACCCUCACCAGAUGGUGAAUCUGCGGGCACUUGAAUCUGAGACUUUCCAGCCUCCAGAGCUGUGAGCAGUAAAUGUUGCUUAUAAGCCACAAAAUCUAUGGUAUUUUAUUAUAGCAGCCCAAAUGGACAGAGACCCCCAUGAAGCCUGCUUCCUAGGGCAAUCCUGUCCUCUCCAUAUUGGUUUUAACUUAAGAAGCAGGUUCCUGCAUAAAGUUGGUAUUGAUGCUUCAAAAACCUGGCCCACAGGGUUGUAGCAAGGACCUGUUCCUCUGACAAGGUUCUUGCCAAGAGCUCUCAACUUUUUAAUCUUCCCAACUUUGAGUAUCUUGUUAUUCAGCGAAAGGGGUGUGCUGCCAAAAUUCUAGUUUUUUCAACUCUUGGUAAAGGUUAAUUUUACAUUUAUCCAAAUUCUUAAGCUGUUCUCUUUCCUUUAAUUCCAUAGAAAAUGCUAGCUGUGAUUUCUUGAUUAUAGCACCUGCUUUUCUUUUGCCUUUCCUUUUGUUUUUGGACUCAAGUAUUUUAAGCUCAUUCCUUUCCCUGCUUAGGAAGAGGCAUGAAGUCAAAACAUUCUGGCAACAUCAUUAAUUUUUUUAACUUAUCUUGUUCAGUUUGGGACCGUUACCUAUGUGUUCUAAGCAGGGAGCCAGAGGAGGGCACAAGACCGUGCCACCCCGUGGAGUCAGCCCAGGUAAAGAACUGUUCUGGUUGCCCUGGUCAGUGAAUUCUGCCAUAGUCUCAAUGAUCACCCUUAGCUUCAAAGGAGGCUGAGAAAUGUAUCUUGAAGUUGGGCAUGUUCUUUCUGCAAAAGCAACUGUGGUUUGGCUUGCUAUGGAUGGAGAACUAAAUGCAGACAUCAGACCAACGGGGAGCUAAGUAUUAGUAGUAGGACCAGUGCUGCUAUAUUGGAGAAUGAGCUUAAAUUAUAAACAGAUUCAUCUAUAAUGAAGCCUCCUAUUACUUUGAUUGCUAAAAUCUUUCAUGGAAAAGAGAAAUACAUGCUGCUGAGAUCACAGGGAUGUACGUAGCCCACCAUGCACUUACCCACUCUCAGUCUCAGCAAUUCAGUUCACUCUCUUGAGGAAGCAUGGAGGGAUAUAGUGAGGUGGAAGAACCAUCUUCUAGUAGUUUCAAGAAGAUAAACAGUUUUGUGUGCCCAGGGAGGAAUGCUGAAAAGUAGAGAAUGCUUUUUCUUCUAACAGUUAUGUAUUUAUAUGUGUGGUGGUAUGUAUACGUGUGUGUGUGUGUGUGUGUGUGUGUGUGUGAGAGAGAGAGAGAGAGAGCGAGAGUGCAGGCAUAUGUGUGUAUGUAUAAAAACACCUGACUUUUACAUUAUUACAUAUUGUGGCAACUGUGUUAUAUUAGCUGCUUUGUAUGUUUUUUCAACUCCUGCUAUUAAUGACCUCGCAGUGUGGUGAUCUACCGUGGAAGCUGAGAAAAGGGAAAAUUCAUGUGUGUUUUGCAGUCGUGAAGCCCUUUUAAAGGAGAUGGGCAUGAACUGCUUAUAGAUCUUAAAGAAUGAGUAGACUUGUUUCAGGUAAAGAAAAAGGGUGACUCAGGGUAAAGAAACAGCAAGGAGCACAGCCACUAGGCCUUCAGCUGCUUCAGAAGCUCACUGCAAGAUUCACCAUCAGAACCAUCUGCACUGCUUCACAAGAAACAAACCAAGCACAUGCAGAUGACGGGGCAGUAGCUCCUGUGAUUACACAUCCUGCUACUCCCCACACUAGAGGGUUUGAGGCAGGUGCUCUUCGUGUGUAGCAGGCUGUGGCCUCUCCUUGUGUCCUUGUCAUCUUCGACUCCUGAGGUAAUGCUGAUUUGAAAAUGCUUAGCAACUAGCCCGGCUCCCUACCCGAGGCUCAGCCCAGGAGUUGGAGUUGACAGCUAAUUGUCGCCACUGAUUGCUUUGCUGACAGUGCUCUGUGGCUAUUUUGGUUUUUCUUGAGAGUUCCUUAAUUAGAGAAAAUGACAUCGUGUGCUGUCCAAUCAGUAGCUUGUUAGAUAUUAUUACAUUUGUAGGAGAAUCAGGCAACGUUCGGGCUUGUUCCUGCCAAGCUGGUAUUAGGCUCAUGACCUGCAGCACAGUUUGCUUGGCAAAACAGCAGUGCCCACACAGCUGAGACUAGUUUGUCACUGACUCAAGGGAAGAGCAUUCUGCAUUCCCAGUGUGGACUCAAAGUACCAGGACUCCCUCGGGGCAAUGUAGCUUUGCCCAUUGAAACUUCACACCUCACAGUAGCCAUUACCUUGACUUUCUUCUCUCUGAAGUGAGAUAUUUCAGGAUUCCUUUGAUAUUUGCCUUUCUGACUGACAUGGAAAGACCCUUUUGUUUUUCCAUGGGAGAGAUACAAAUAUGACCUGAAGAUGAGUUUCCAUUUGGUCAAACUUUAAAUGUGGUUUCUCAUACAGUAUAGUAAGAGCUCAGUAUACUGCUUUACCUAACAGGAAGGAUGAUCUUAAAUUAGAAAAUAUUUUGAGUUAUAAAAUAAGUGAAGAGUUUUACAACUCUAAAAUCCACAGAAUAACUUUUACAAGCUGAUUUUUAGGUGUAGUCUCUUCUGAGGCUAUGUUUUGGAAUUAUUUUGGAAUAGCACAUACCUACUUUAUUUAUUUACACAUAAACUAGGAAGGAAAGUUUGAUAUGUAAGAUUGUGAAAUGAGUACGAACCCUAUUAGUUCCUUAUUUCUGGCAUUAAUUCAUUGCAUCAAAGAUAUAUUGAGCCUUCAGGGGGUACCCUGGGGCUUAACAAAGAAGUAUGAGACACAGUUUCUGUCCUCAAGAAACUUAUAUCCUAACUGGGAAGUUAACAUUCUUAAAUGAGACCUCAUGAUUUCCUUGAAGGGAUCCAUAAGGUUGCAUAGCUUUUCUCCUGGAGUUAUCAGUGAUGGAACAGAGAGUAAAGAGUGCAGGACUGAUCCAGGGUUGAAAAGAUAAGAGGAUAAGAAUAUUGAGGAUCUAUGGAGUGUUCAUAAGCUUCACAGAUUGGGCACAGAAAGGAGGAAUACCAAGGUGUAUCUGUGUCUGCGUCGGCGGAGUAGGGGUUGAACAAAAAGAUAGAGAAAGUGGUUAACGCAUAUGGUGGAUGGGUAGAAGCUGAAGAGGACGCCAUACGGUCAAGAGAGAAAUGGAGAGUGGGUAAGGGUCAAGAGAGAUCAAACAAUGUCUCUUGUCCAUGUUUCCUGUGGGUCUAUCUUUGCCUUCUCAAACACAUGGUAAAAAAGGGACCAGACAUGACAUUUCUCUUGUGUAUUUUUCCCUGAAGAAAAAUUCACGGCUCAUUCAUGGGAUCUGUGAAGAUCAUUUGGUUGAAAUUAUCAACUUUCUUGUACAUAUAUAGAAAUGAUUAAGAUGCUCAUUUGUUUGUGUGUAUGGUGACCUCCAAAGUGUUUCCUGAUGCAAUCUUAUAUGGUAUAAACACGCAUACACAAUGAUGACGAAGAGAAAGUCCCCAUCACCUGAUAAUUGUUCAUUACUUUCAAGUAAAGGGAAAUUAUUAUCUCUAGAGGAUGUCAGAGAGACCCACACGCUGGAGGUGAUUUGUCUUACCAGCAAGGCCAGAAUUUCUGUUCCUUCCCACAGGCUGACAGCUCUCCUUUUACUCUUCCUGGGUUUUCAGGCUAAGUGCAUUUGAAGGCCCCGUAAACAACAUAAACUUCUUUCUGAUCCUGUUACUGUUUCCCUGCUCAACACUCAGCUUAUUCUCAUGUUUAUAUUUAACCAGUGUAAUCCUCGCGAAAGACUUUUACAGUUGAAGUCACAGCAAAAACUAGAGAAUAAAAUUUUGAUUAAAAAACUAAAUUUAAAAAGCUCAGACUUUAUGAUGUCAGAAUUACUCUGUAUUCUUGGAUAGUGUAUAAUUGCUGGUCCCUGGGCGCCACACCUGUUGGAGGUAGCAACUAUUUGGGGCCAGUGGCAAGGGUGGUAAAGGUAUUUACCAAGACAGUUGUAGGUUAAAAAAAAAAAGGCAGAUUUAUUAGAGAAAGUAUGAAAAUAAAUCGCAAGGAUGCAAUGGGCAGCAUGCAGAGAAGGGAGUGUCUACAAAGAGGCAGAGGUUGGAGGGAAGUUUUAUAGCAUCUUCAUUAGCUGUUUCUCAGAAAAAUUGGUCAAUGCUCUCCUCACAGUGGGGCCCUCCCCAGUGUGGGGUCCCUUCCUCAUCAAUGCUUACUUACCUCAUCAGGACUCCACAACACUCACUGUAAGUCCCUUGCUAUAAUGUCUAAUAUUCAUCUUGGCUGUCCAAGUGCUGCCCAGUACCGUCGGACACACUGGAGCCUUACAGUUGUCUGUGCCUCUGAAGGGAAUGUGUCUCAUGUCCAGCUCAAACAUACCAGCAGUGCCUAUUAUAAGAGCUUCAUUUCUCAGGUAGCAUUUUAAAAUUCCUUAAGCUAUAUCCCAGACAUGAAAGACUUGACCUGAAUCAUGUGGUUACCAUGGCAUCUAAAGAGAACCUUUAGAAGCGUAUCGAUUUUUCCAGACAGAAAGAUGGUAAAUUGCUCCAAUAGAACAUUUUCUACCUUGCAGGCUGAGAAUAAAAACUAUAUUUAUCUGAAAUAGCAAAUCUGAUCUUCAAAACUUCUCUCAAGCAUUAUCCUUUAUGGGCUAUUUGCUGAAAACUGCUUACCAGUUUUUAUGCUCCAGCACUGACUUGUAGCAGCUUUUCUUUCAUCUCUGACCUGGAAGCUUCUUUUCAAAUAAAAUAAAAAUAUGAAGGACCCCAACUAAGAAAUCCCUUCAAAUUUCAGAGAAGAGUCUAACUACCCUUAUUCAGGGAGACUGAAGCAAAAAUAAGUCUACCCUUAACAAAACGGCAGAUCCACCUUCUGCACAGGCAACCCCUCCCCUUCUGACACACUGCUUGGAUGUUAAGCUAAUUUUCAGUAAUUGCUAACUCUAAAGCAACAGAGCUUAAGUCUUUGAAAGGACUCGUUUUCAUACAAUCUUAUUAUCUGAAAUUUGUGCUUAAUAGAAAGGUCAUUUGACCACCAGCUUUUUGCCUUAGAGUUAGUAGGCAGGGACUAAGCCGUUAAUUUCUAUUGCUUGACAUUUCUAUAACACUUGGCAGUAUUCAAAACACUUUUAUAUCUGUUGUUAUUUGAGCCACAAUACAGUAACAAUGCCGUGAGGCAGAGACAGAUAUUUUUUUAAAUUACCCCCUUCACUUUUUUUCUGGAUUCGGGGAAUUAGCAGGCACCAGGGAUUGGAACUGUGCUACCAUAGUAGGGUGGUCCAUCUUCUCUGAGUAUCACUGGAAUUUCUUUUUUUUUUAAUUGCAUUUUAGGUUUUGGGGUACAUAUGCAGAACGUGCAAGAUAGUUGCAUAGGUACACAUGUGGCAGUGUGAUUUGCUGCCUUCCUCCCCUUCACCCACAUCUGGCAUUUCUCCCCAUGCUAUUCCUCCCCAACUUGCCCCUACUGCUGUCCCUCCCCUAUUCCCCCCAGUAGACCCCAGUGUGUAGUGCUCCCCUCCCUGUGUCCAUGUGUUCUCAUUGUUCAUCACCCACCUAUGAGUGAGAACAUGAGGUGUUUGAUUUUCUAUUCUUGUGUCAGUUUGCUGAGAAUGAUGGUUUCCAGAUUCAUCCAUGCCCCUGCAAAGGACAUGAACUCAUCAUUUUUGAUUGCUGCAUAAUAUUCCAUGUUGUAUAUAUGCCACGUUUUCCCAGUCCAGUCUAUCAUCAAUGGGCGUUUUGGUUGGUUCCAGGUCUUUGCUAUUGUAAACAGUGCUGCAAUGAACAUUCGUAUGCAUGUGUCCUUAUAGUAGAAUGAUUUAUAGUCCUUUGGAUAUAUACCCAGUAGUGGGAUUGCUGGGUCAAAUGGAAUUUCUAUUUCUAGGUCCUUGAGGAAUCACCACACUGUCUUCCACAAUGGUUGAACUAAUUUAUACUCCCACCAACAGUGUAAAAGUGUUCCUAUUUCUCCACAUCCUCUCCAGCAUCUGUUGUCUCCAGAUUUUUUGAUGAUCGCCAUUCUAACUGGUGUGAGAUGGUAUCUCAAUGUGGUUUUGAUUUGCAUUUCUCUGAUGACCAGUGAUGAUGAGCAUUUUUUCAUACGUUUGUUGGCCUCAUGUAUGUCUUCUUUUGUAAAGUGUCUGUUCAUAUCCUUUGCCCACUUUCGAAUGGGCUUGUUUGUUUUUUUUUCUUGUAAAUCUGUUUGAGUUCUUUGUAAAUUCUGGAUAUCAGCCCUUUGUCAGAUGGGUAAACUGCAACAAUUUUUUUCCCAAUCUGUUGGUUGCUGAUUCACCCUAAUGACUGUUUCUUUUGCCGUGCAGAAGCUGUGGAGUUUGAUUAGGUCCCAUUUGUCUAUUUUGGCUUUUGUUGCCAAUGCUUUUGGUGUUUUGGUCAUGAAGUCCUUACCUACUCCUAUGUCCUGAAUGGUUUUGCCUAGAUUUUCUUCUACGGUUUUUAUGGUGCCGGGUCUUAUGUUUAAGUCUUUAAUCCAUCUGGAGUUAAUUUUAGUGUAAGGUGUCAGGAAGGGGUCCAGUUUCUGCUUUCUGCACAUGGCUAGCCAGUUUUCCCAACAUCAUUUUUUAAACAGUUUUCCCAACAUCAUUUUUUCCCCAUUGCUUGUUUUUGUCAGGUUUAUCCAAGAUUGUAUGGUUGUAGAUAUGUUAUGUUGCCUCCGAUGCCUCUGUUCUGUUCCAUUGGUCUAUAUCUCUGUUUUGGUACCAGUACCAUGCUGUUUUGAUUACUGUAAACUUGUAGUAUAGUUUGAAGUCCAGUAUUGUGAUGCCUCCUGCUGUGUUCUUUUUGCUUAGAAUUGACUUGGCUAUGUGGGCUCUCUUUUGGUUCCAUAUGAAGUUUAAGGUGGUUUUUUCCAGUUCUGUGAAGAAGGUCAUUGGUAGCUUGAUGGGGAUAACAUUGAAUCUGUAAAUUACUUUGGGCAGUAUGGCCAUUUUCACUAUAUUGGUUCUUCCUAACCAUGAACAUGGAAUGUUUCUCCAUCUGUUUGUGUCCUCUCUUAUUUCAUUGAGCAGUGGUUUGUAGUUUUCCUUGAAGAGGUCCCUUACAUUCCUUGUGAGUUGUAUUCCUAGGUAUUUUAUUCUCUUUGUAGCAAUUGUGAAUGGCAGUUCGUUCUUGAUUUGGCUCUCUUUAAGUCUGCUAUUGGUGUAUAGGAAUGCUUGUGAUUUUUGCACAUUGAUUUUUUUAUAUCCUGAGACUUUGCUGAAGUUGCUUAUCAGUUUCAGAAGUUUUUGGGCUGAGACGAUGGGGUCUUCUAGAUAUACUAUCAUGUCGUCUGCAAAUAGAGACAAUUUGGCUUCCACCUUUCCUAUUUGAAUACCCUUUAUUUCUUUUUCUUGCCUGAUUGCUCUGGCUAGAACUUCCAGUACUAUAUUGAAUAGAAGUGGUGAGAGAGGGCAUCCUUGUCUAGUGCCAGAUUUCAAAGGGAAUGCUUCCAGUAUUUGCCCAUUCAGUAUGAUAUUGGAUGUUGGUUUGUCAUAAAUAGCUUUUAUUAUUUUGAGAUAUGUUCCAUCAAUACCAAGUUUAUUGAGGGUUUUUAGCAUAAAGUGCUGUUGAAUUUUGUCAAAUGCCUUCUCUGCAUCAAUUGAGAUAAUCAUGUGGUUUUUGUUUUUGGUUCUGUUUAUGUGGUGAAUUACGUUUAUAGACUUGCGUAUGUUGAACCAGCCUUGCAUCCCUGGGAUGAAUCCUACUUGAUGGAUACGCUUUUUGAUGUGCGGUUGCAAUCGGCUUGCCAGUAUUUUAUUGAAGAUUUUUGCAUCUAUGUUCAGCAUGGAUAUUGGCCUGAAGUUUUCUUUGCUUGUUGAGUCUCUGCCUGGUUUUGGUAUUAGGAUGAUGUUGGUCUUGUAAAAUGAUUUGGGAAGGAUUCCCUCUUUUUGGAUUAUUUGGAAUAGUUUCAGGAGGAAUGGUAACAGUUCCUCUUUGUGUGUCUGGUAGAAUUUGGCUGUGAACCCAUCUGGACCUGGGCUUUUUGUGUGUGGUAGGCUCUUAAUUGCUGCCUCAACUUCCGAUCUUGUUCUUGGUCUAUUCAUAGUUUUGACUUCUUCCUGGUUUAGGGUUGGGAGGACACAAGAGUCCAGGAAUUUAUCCAUUUCUUCCAGGUUUACUAGUUUAUGUGCAUAGAGUUGUUUGUAAUAUUCUCUGAUGAUGGUUUGAAUUUCUGUGGAAUCUGUGGUAAUUUCCCCUCUAUCAUGUUUUAUUGCAUGUAUUUGGUUAUUCUCUCUCUGGCUAGUGGUCUGUCUAUUUUGUUGAUCUUUUCAAAAAACCAGCUCUUGGAUUUAUUGAUUUUUUGAAGGGUUUUUCGUGUCUCUAUCUCCUUCAGUUCUGCUCUGAUCUUAGUUAUUUCUUGUCUUCUGCUAAGUUUUGAGUUAUUUUGAUCUUGGUCCUCUAGCUCUUUCAAUUUUGAUGAUAGGGUGUCAAUUUUGGAUCUUUCCAUUCUUCUCAGGUGGGCACUUAUUGCUAUAUAUUUUCCUCUAGAGACUGCUUUAAAUGUGUCCCAGAGAUUCUGGUAUGUUGUGUCGUUGUUCUCAUUGGUUUCAAAGAACUUCUUUAUUUCUGCCUUCAUUUCAUUGUUUAUCCAGUCAACAUUCAAGAGCCAGUUGUUCAGUUUCCAUGAAGCUGUGUGGUUCUGAGUUAGUUUCUGAAUUCUGAGUUGUAACUUGAUUGCACUGUGGUCUGAGAGACUGUUUGUUAUGAUUUCCAUUCUUUUGCAUUUGCUGAGGAGUGCUUUACUUCCAAUUAUGUGGUCAAUUUUAGAGUAGGUGUGAUGUGGUGCUGAGAAGAAUGUAUAUCCUGUGGAUUUGGGGUGGAGAGUUCUGUAAAUGUCUAUCAGGUUUGCUUGUUCCAGGUCUGAGUUCGAGUCCUGGAUAUCCUUGUUAAUUUUCUGUCUGGUUGAUCUGUCUAAUAUUGACAGUGGAGUGUUAAAGUCUCCCACUAUUAUUGUGUGGGAGUCUAAGUCUCUUUGUAAGUCAUUAAGAACUUGCCUUAUGUAUUUGGGUGCUCCUGUAUUGGGUCCAUAUAUAUUUAGGAUCGUUAGCUCUUCUUGUUGUAUCGAUCCUUUUACCAUUAUGUAAUGGCCUUCUUUGUCUCUUUGGAUCUUUGUUGCUUUAUAGUCUAUUUCAUCAGAGAUGAGAAUUGCAACUCCUGCUUUCUUUUGCUCUCCAUUUGCUUGGUAAAUCUUUCUCCAUCCCUUUAUUUUGAGCCUUUGUGUAUCCUUGCAUGUGAGAUGGGUUUCCUGGAUACAGCAUUCUGAUGGAUUUUGGCUUUUUAUCCAAUUUGCCAGUCUGUGUCUUUUGAUUGGUGCAUUUAGCCCAUUUACAUUUAGGGUUAAUAUUGUUAUGUGUGAAUUUGAUACUGCCAUUUCGAUUCUAGCUGGCUGUUUAGCUCGUUAGUUGAUGCAGAUUUUUCAUUUUGUUGAUGCUCUUUAGCAUUUGGUAUGUUUUUGGAGUGGCUGGUACUGGUUUACCUUUCUAUGUGUAGAGCCUCUUUCAGGAGCUCUUGUAAAGCAGGCCUGGUGGUGACAAACUCUCUGAGUACUUGCUUGUUCGCAAAGGAUUUCAUUUUUCCUUCACUUAUGAAGCUUAGUUUGGCUGGAUAUGAAAUUCUUGGUGGAAAGUUCUUUCUUUAAAGAUGUUGAAUAUUUGCCCCUACUCUCUUCUGGCUUGUAGAGUUUCUGCCAAGAUAUCUGCUGUGAGUCUGAUGGGCUUCCCUUUGUAGGUAACCUGACCUUUCUCUCUGGCUGCCCGUAGCAUUUUCAUCUUCAUUUCAAUCCUGGUGAAUCUGAUGAGUAUGUGCCUUGGGGUUGCUCUUCUUGAGCAAUAUCUUUGUGGUGUUCUCUGUAUUUCCUGGAUUUGAAUAUUGGCCUGCCUUGCUAUGUUGGGGAAAUUUUCCUGGAUAAUAUCCUGAAGAGUGUUUUCCAGCUGGGAUUUGUUCUCUUCUUCACCUAUCAUAUGUAGGUUAGGUCUCUUCACAUAGUCCCACAUUUCUUGGUUACUUUGUUCCUUCCUUUUUGUGCUUUUUUCUCUAAUCUUGCAUUCUCCUUUGAUUUCGUUGAGUUGAUCUUCAAUCUCUGAUAUCCUUUCUUCUGCUCAGUCAAUUCAGCUAUUGAAACUUGUGCAUGCUUCACGAAGUUCUCGUGUUGUGCUUUUCAGCUCCAUCAAUUCACUCAUAUUCCCCUCUAAGUUGUCCAUUCUUGUUAUCAUUUCAUCAAAUCUUUUUUCAAGGUUCUUAGUUUCUUUGCGUUGAGUUAGAACGUGUUCUUUUAGCUCACGGAAGUUUCUCAUUACCCACCUUCUAACGUCUGAUUCUGUCAUUUUAUCACACUCAUUCUCCAUCCAGCUUUGUUUCUCUGCUGGUGAGGAGUUGUGAUCCCUUCUAGGAGGUGAGAAGUUCUGGUUUCAGGUGUUUUCCUCCUUUUUGCGCUUGCUUCUUCCCAUCUUUGUGGGUUUAUCCACCUGUCGUCUGUGUAGUUGGUGAUUUUCAGAUUGGGUCUCUGAGUGGAUGUCUUGAUUGUUGAUGAUGAAGUUAUUUCUAUUUCUUAGUUUUCCUUCUACCAGUCAGGCCCCUCUGCUGUAGGACUGCUGACGUCCACUCUAGGCCCUGCUUGCCUGGGGGUCACCUGCAGCAGCUGCAGAACAGUAAGGGUUGCUGCCAGUUUUUUCUUCUGCUAUCUUUGUCCCAGAAUGAUGCCUGCCAAAUGUCAGUCUGAUCAGUCCUUUAUGAGGUGACUUUUGGAUAUACGGGGGUCAGGGAGCUGCUUGAGGAGACAGUCUGUUCUUUAUAGGAGCUCAAUUGCUGAGCUGUGAGCUCUAUUGUUCAUUCAGAGCUGCUAGGAAGGUAUGUUUAAGUCUGCUGCAGCAGAACUCAUAAACCCCCUUUUUUUCCCCAGGUGCUCUGUCCUGGGGGUUUAGGGCUUUAUUUAUGGUAUCCGUUGUGUUGCUGCUUUUUUUUUUUCCAGUUGUUCUGCCCAGCAAGGGGGCAGCCUAGUCACUGCCUGUAGAGGUUUUGCUGAGCCUCUGCUGUGGGUUCUGCCCUGCUGCUGGCUCUGCCCUGCUGCCAUGUGUAUUUCCCUGCAGUCCUGUUUAUGUGGGUGUGGUUAGAACUGCCACGGCAAUGUUGGCCCACCUCUGCAAUGGUGGGCUCUCUCUGUUAUGACAAAUUGCCUCUGCAACUGCAGGAUGCAUCAGCAAUGGCAGACUACCUCCCUAGGGGUGGAGUACCUCAGUAAUGGCGGAUGCCCCUCCCCCACAGAGCUGGGCUGUCCCGGUUUUAGCUGUGCUUGCCGUGAAACUCUCAACCCCGAGCAUUUCCAAUUGCUGUUUGUUUGUUUUUGUGGGCAUGGGACCCACCGAGCCUGAUCACCUGGCUCCCUGCCUCAGAGCCCUUUUUUCUUAAGUUGAAUGGUUGACUCUCUCCCAGGUGUUCCAGUCGCCUGCUGAAAGGGCACCAGGAUCUGUGUGAUUUCCCGUGCGGUGACCCACUGCACCCGCUGAAACAAUGUGGCUUCCCGGGAAUCUCCUGGGCUGCUAUAUGUUUCAGUCCCCUUUAAUCAGAUGAAUGGGCUAAUCUGCCUUCCCGGAUCUCGAAUUGCCAGUUUAACAGGGCAAUCAGACCAGUGUAUUUUGUAUGGAGUCAGCGGCGCUGGCUGAAACAGCCAUGCCUUAUCGCUGGAAUUUCUAAUCGCGAUGGUCGUCCCCUCCCUAGAGGAGCUGGACUCCCUCAGGUAGAGAGACCUGCAGAACUUAGCCAAGGGUCUGGGUCUCUGGGCAAAACCUGAGGGCAGACAAGUUGUUAAAAGCCUUGAAAGGCCACAGUAAUUGUGAGAAAAGAAAAGGAAAUGAGAAUCAGGAUGAAAGUCAAAAUUAUGCAUAAGACAAAGAUACAGAUCAGCAGCCAGGAAGAAGCUGAGAGAGCCAAUUGGCCAUGCCACCAAAACAAGGAGAAGGCGCAAGACUGUCCAUGUGGACCCUGACUCCCAGCACGAUCAUUCAGAGAUAAAAAUAGGUGAUCCCACAGAAUUCCAGAAUCAUGAAAAGCAGGAAAGCCAGGAUCUCAGAGCUACUGCAAAAGUUUCUUCUCCAGAUGAGCACCAAGGAGAAUGCUGUUUCUUCAGGAAAACUUUGAAUAAAUGGUAACAAAGAUUCAAAGAUACCUUCAGAAAGAAAGAAAUCUCUCUAUACAGAUUAAGUUACCCAAACCUGGAAAAAAUAAAAGAACUGCAAUCACCACUCCAAACUUUAAGAAGCUUCAUGAAGCUCAUUUUAAGGAAAUGGAGUCCAUUGAUCAAUAUAUUAAGAGGAAAAAGAAACAUUUUGAAGAACACAAUUCCAUGAGUGAACUGAAGCAGCAGCCCAUCAAUAAGGGAGGAGUCGUGACUCCAGUACCGCCAAAAGGAAGACUCUCUGAGUUCUACUCCCGUCAGCCAAUGACGCUUUCAAGGCCAGUCUUCUGGCCCUGCAAGUCAGAGUACCUUGGGUCUGAAAGGGUCACUCAAGGGCUCUGCUAUCUCUGCAGCUGAAACAGGUGUCAGGUUUUCAGCUGCUACUAAAGAUAAUGAGCAUAAGUGUCUACUGACCAAGACUCCAGCCAGAAGGUGCACAUGUGACCAUGUCUGGAAAUACCCCAAAAGGUGAGGCUAUGCCCGGGACACAAAUAAAAGACCACCAAGAGGAAUUCUGCUGCUAUUACCCCAUUCAAGUUGACAACUGAGGCAAUGCUUGAUCUUAAAGCAAGUUUGUCUCGUCCCCUCAACUAUGAAGCACGCAAAGGAAAGCUAAAACCAUGGGGGGCAAUCUAAAGAAAAGAAUUGUCUGAAUGGGCAUGCCAACAGAAUUAACUUCCACAAGGAAACUUAAAAAGAACCCCGUCUCCAGACAAAGGAAGAGCAACAGAAAAAACAUGAGCAAGAACCAAAGGAGAAGAAAACAACGGUUUUGCGAGUGUGAAGGGGCCUCAUUUUGGCUGAAGAUUAGUAAUUUUUAACAUCUUGUAAAUAAUCCUGUAUUAGAUUAACGUCAAAGAACUGUGUCAGAAGGGGAGAGGCUGCCUGCGCAGAAAGGCAAAAAUUGUGUGAUUGCUCCUCCUCCUCGCAUUUCUCCUACUGCCCUAGUCCCGCCUUGGCCAUGAGGGAGAUCGCGCUCACACAAACCGGACAGUGCGGGAACCAGAUCGGCGCAGAGUUCUGGGAGGUGAUCUCUGGUGAACAUGGCAUCGACUCUGCUGGAGCCUACCAUGGGGACAGUGACCUGCAGCUGGAGCGCAUCAAUGUGUAUAACUAGCUGCCAAAAGGUAAAUGCUAUUGUCUGGCAGAAGACUGCAGUUCUGUUCAUACUAGAACCAGCAGGGGGAACUUGACAUUAAAAAUCUAGGACCAGAAUCUCAGGAUGGGUCUCAUUAGAAAACUGAGUUGUACAGGGUUAGCAAUUCAUGAAAAACAAAAACCAUCCCAAAGAAUUUGAGCUUUGAGGUGAUAACAUCUUUUCAGAGGUCAUAGCACAUGAAGUGCAGCCAGGGAAAUGGAACCAUGUUCACGGCCAGCUUCUGCAGGUCAGCAUUCAGCUGGCCUGGAAAGUGCAGGCACCAGGUGAUUCAGGUGACCGUAGGUGGGUGUGGUCAGUUUUAAGGUCCUGGAACAGAUGUUAUAGAGUGCUUCAUUAUCGACGCAGAACAUCUCGCCUGCAUUUUCUAUGAGCUGGUGGAGGGAGCGGGUGGCAUUGUAGGGCUCCACUACCGUGUCUGACACCUUGGGCGAGGGCGGGACGCUGAAUGUGUUUAUAAUCCUGUCGAUACUCCCCCCGAAUUUUGCCCAUGAGAAGGGUUACCCAUCCCAGACCCUGUCCCCCCACCCAGGGAGUGGCUCAGCUGGAAACCCUGCAGGCAAUCACAGCUGUCAGCCUCUUUUCUCACAACGUCCAUCACUGACUCCAUCAGCUCUGUGCCUUCUGUGUAGUACCAUUGCCCCAGUUGUUCCUGGCUCCACACUGACCAAAGAUGAAGUUGUCUGGUCUGAAGAUCUGCCGAAAGGGCCCUGAGCGCACAGAGUCCAUGGUGCCCGGCUCCAGAUCCACGAGCAUAGCGCGGGCCAUAUACCUGCCACCGCUGGCCUCCUUGCAGUACACAUUGAUGUGCUCCAGCUGCAGGUCACUGUCCCCGUGGUAGGCUCCAGCAGAGUCGAUGCCAUGUUCAUCAGAGAUCACCUCCCAGAACUUUGCGCCGAUCUAGUUCCUGCACUGUCCGGUUUGUGUGAGCGUGAUCUCCCUCAUGGCCAAGGCAGGACUAGGGCAGUAGGAGAAAUGCGAGGAGGAGGAGCAAUCACACAAUUUUUGCCUUUCUGAGCAGGCAGACUCUCCCCUUCUGACACAGUUCUUUGACGUUAAUCUAAUUUUCAUUAAUUGCUAACUCUAAAGCAACAGAGCUUAAAUCUUUGAAAGGACUGCUUUUCAUACAAUCUUAUUGUCUGAAAUUUGUGCUUAAUAGAAAGGUCAUUGGACCACCAGCUUUUUGCCUUAGAGUUAGUAGGCAGGGACUGUCUAAAUCGUUAAUUUCUAGUGCUUGACAUUUCUAUAACACUUGGCAGUAUUCAAUACACUUUUAUAACUGUUGUUAUUUGAGCCACAAUACAGUAACAGCGUCCUGAGGCAGAGAGACAGAUACUUUUUAAAAUUACCCCCUUCACUUUUUUUUUUUUUUAAAUUAGGGGAUUGAAGGUGUAAGAGAAGCAAAACUUUUCCUCUUCCCUUUUAGGUUUUUUUUUGUGUGUGUGUGGGGAGAGGGGUGGUGGCUGGGCCUGGGUAUUACGAUAAACAGGAAAAACCCAAAUUUAUUUAAUACAAGUUUUGUGUGGCAUGGGGGCCCUUAGAAGGAAAUGAAGACCCAAAGAAGCUGUUAGAAUCAGUUUCUUCUACACUGAAUUGCACAAAGAGUAGUAAAUUGUGAAGCGGUGUCAAGGCAAAGGGCCUUGGUUAGGGUAGUUAAUUGGGUAAAGAAACUACUAGGAAAAUAUGGGUGAGUUUAUCAAGGUUUGUUUGUACAGAUUUUUCUCGGCCUCAACUUUUUUUCCUUGAUGUUAAGAAUGUUGCUUUCCUUCUGGUGCAGGGAGGACAUUUUUCCACAUGGAAAUUUUAUCUCCUACUUUUAAGAAACGGAAGGUCAGAGCGAUCUUGCACGUGCUGCUUUUUUUUUUUUUCUGUCUUUAAUUCAGAAUAGAGAAUAUGCCAGAGCAGCAUAUUUUGGAGUGGCACAUUCCUAAUUAUUUUAGAGUUUGUGUCUCCUAAAAUCACUUCUUUCUAGGAGCAGACCUGGAACUAGCACCUGUUUCUGUCCCUAAGGGUUGCUCAGUCAUGAUGGGCCAAGUAUGAGGAUGGGAACAGAGAGCUCUGUUUGGGAAUUGUCUACUUGCUUGUCUGUCUUCUUGAUUUGACUUUCAGCUCCUUGAAGGAGGAGGUUCUUUUAUUUAUCGUUGGAUCCUCAGUGACUAGAAUAUGGCCGGCACAUAAUAGGUGCUCAGUUAACAUGGUUAAGAAACAAGUCAUAAUGAUGUCAACAUUUUCACCUCUGCCUAUCCCACCUCUCACCCAUGCCAAAGGCAUAGAAAAUGUUGAACGGAAGAAUUGUAUCUACAAUAAAUAGGCCAAAAUAUGGGCACAGACGGGGAAGCAUAGGUUGUCAAUUUGCCAGAAGCACUGGGUGAAGGACACUGAGCCGAGCUGUUGAAAAGCACAGAAGAAACUGAGAAUCUAGCUCCUUUCUUCGGGGAGCUCAAAGUAUACUCGGAGAAACAGAACACCUACCAUGAAAACGAUGAGGAAAGUCACUCUCAGUCUGUUUGGUUGGCCCUACCUUCUUGGAAACUCUUGGGGGAGGGUGUGGACAUGCACUGCAAACAAACCUUAAUCUCAGAGGGAGAAGGAACUGGAAGAACUCUACUCUCAUUUUCUUUGGUUCUAUAAUUACCUGCAGCUACAUACAAGUGUUUCUAUGCAUGAAACUAAAUUCAGCAACUGGUCGACGGUUGAAUCAUUCUAAUUAACUGGAAUAGGUGAACUUUGACACAGCUUCAUUUGGCAUUUUUCUUUAAAUAGUCAAGUAGUCAUGCCAUAAUUUAGCAUCAGUAAACAAUUGUUUCCAUCCUCAGCCCUACCAGAACUAAUAUUUUCCAAGUCCUGUACAGCUGUACCUCUCAAGGUUCAGUCCUCAAGCCAUGUACUUACGUAUCAACCUGUGAAAUUUGGAUUCAGGGCACCUGAGAAUCUGCUUCCUUUUCCCUUAGUAAACACUUUAUUUUGGAAUAAUUUUAUAUUUACAGAAAUAUUGCAAAUGUUGCAAUAAAUCUUGCAAAUAUACUACAAAGAGUUCCUGUAUUUCCUUCAUCCAGCUUUUUCUGUUAACUUCUUAUAGACCAAAAUAACUUGUCAAAAUUAAUAAAUUAACAUUGGUAUAAUAAAUACGAACUAAGCUACAGACUAUUCAGAUUUCACCAAUUUUUCCACUCCUUCCCUUUUUCUGUUUAAUCCGGGCUAUCACAUUGUAUUUAAUCCUCGUAUCUCCUUAGUGUCCUUGGAUCUGUGAUAGUUUUUUAGCCUUUCCUUGAAUCUGCAUUUUAAUAAGCUCUCCCGGUGGUUCUUACACACUAGAAGUGAACACCAUUGCUCUUCCAAAGCCACGGCACACCUCACAGGUGCUGAGAAGGGGGAACCUUCCCUGGCCUGAGUGGUGCUUUGUGCUCUUCAUCCCAAGUCAUGCCCAUGUCAUUGGGGGAUCCGGCAGGACACAUAAGGCAUGCUCUGGAGAGAAGUUGACAAAUGGAACACAGCACUAUUUACAGAAGUGUAGACAGAAAUAAGCGAAGAAAUAAGGGUUGUUAAGGCAACCAGGAACUAUUUACAGUGAAAAGCUUUGAUUUAGUUUGGGAAGGGGGAAGAAGAGUUGGGGCCACCCAGUGGGAGCAGGAGUCAGAGAUGUACCAUUGGAGAACCAGCCUUUGCCAGAAUCCCCGGGCUCUGAAGUAUGGAGGAGUGAAGGAGGACAGACCCUGGACUUACCUCCUUUAUCUUAGAUCGCCUACUGUUGCCUCCUGUUGGUGGAACUCAACAAGAAGCAGAGGGCAGGGAAUGGGCCAUACUGUGCCUGUGCAUAGAGGGGAGAGAAGGGCGGAGAAUUGAUGUGGAGACUAGAUCCAGGGAGGAGUUGAAGUGACAAGAACCAGAAUUGUUUUAAAGUAGAAUGCAGUAGAGAUAGCCUGGCUAGUUAAUUGUGCCUGGAUUAAAACUUGUGCUCUGUUUAUUAAUUUAUAGCUACUAUGUUAUCAGGGAUCCACUGCUUAACUUUUUUAAAAAGUGAGAGAUCCAAUAAAAACAUGAUGUGUAGCCUUCGAAACUAUACAGUUGCAAAUUCAACAAAUAUCCUUUUAGUGAGUUUAUGAUAUGAUGAAAAACCAUAGCUUCCAGCUACAUAAGUAAAUAUCCAAACUGAAGAAAAGAAGUACCAUCUGAGAUACAGUCUUAGAAUUGAUAAUGGAUUUUGAGAGUGACAUAUACUACCUUGUAAGGUUUGGAUAAGACAGUGCUUUUUUUUUCUAUUAACUCUCCAGUUUUUGAAAGGAGAGAUGAUUACCCUUUCUGCACUAUAGUGAAUCAAAUUCUGAACUAAAUGGAGAACUAAAGAAAAAGAGUCAGAAAAUGUUUUUCAAUUUUUUUUUUGUAAUUGCAAAGGAAUAGGCUUGAAUAGAAAAGAGCUCAUAUUAUUUUGUUUUUAGAGAAUAAUAGUCUACUUUUAUUUAAAAAAUUUUUCAUAUAUAUAGCUGCUUUUAUUUCAGUAGAUUUUUGGGGAACAGGUAGCGUUUGGUUACAUGAAUAAGUUCUUUGAUGGUGAUUUCUGAGAUUUUGGCACACCCAUCACCCAAGCAGUAUACACUGUACCCAGCAUGGAGUCUUUUAUUCCCCCUCCUACCCUUUCACCCGAGUCCCCAAAGUCCAUGGUAUCAUACCUUUGCACCGUCAUAGCUUAGCUCUCACUUAUGCAUGAGAACGUAUGAUGUUUGAUUUUCCAUUUUUGAGUUACUUUACUUGGAAUAAUGGUCUCCAAUUCCAUCCAGGUUGCUGCAAAUGCCAUUAUUUCAUUCCUUCUUAAUGGUUGAGUAGUAUUCCAUAGUAUACAUCUAUAUGUAUUCACAUAUACAUAUAUGUAUAUGUGUGGGUGUGUGUAUAUAUAUAUAUAUAUAUAUAUAUAUAUAUAUACACACACACACACCAUAUAUACACACACCACAAUUUCUUUAUCCACUCAUUGAUUGGUGGACAUUUGGGCUGAUCCCAUGUGUUUGCAAUUGUGAAGCGUGCUGCUAUAAACAUGUGUGCUAGUGUCUUUUUUGUACAAGGACUUCUAAAGAGCUCAUUAUUCAAGCAUCCAUGGGACUUAAGUGGAAUCACUAGUCUUUAGAGCUGGACUUUCUUGGGCAUUUUUUUUUAUGCUGAGUGUGAGUGGGUAUGCUAUUUUCCCCCUCAUUUCAAACCAGGAGUUGAAGUUAGAAAAGAGGAAUAUUAUCUAUACUUAGCAUUUUUUGUCAUUAAGUUUGACAUUAAAUACACUGUUUGCUAAAAGAGAAGGCUAGUGGAAGUUCGUUUUACUCAUGCAUAUUUUUCUUAGGUAUGGGUCUUUUGUGUUUGCUCAUUUUCAGCCAGGAAAGGGAUACCUUUAACUUUAUUUUAAAGAGUGGUUACACUGGGGUCUUGGCUGGAAACAGAAUUUUCCUCUGCGGGGUUUGAAUGAAGAGAAUCUAAUGAAGGGACUGUUGCAGACCCCUGGGGAGGAUUAUAGUGAUGAAUAGAGGGUGAUCUGGCUCCCAAAAACCAGCAGCAGUGGGAAGCCAUCACCAUCCUUGGGUCCUGGAAACAAGAGGAGCAAAUCGUGGAGUCUCAUGAGGGUUGUAGUCAUGGUGGAAGGGCCAGUGAGGAGACGCUGGAGCUGCGAAGGGACAUGCUCAUUGUGGGAUACUGCAGUGAGGGGAAGACAGUAGGAAAAACAGCACCCCAUCACACUCCUCCCCUUCGUCAAACCCAACAGAAGCCGGGGGGCAUGGCAGUGUAGAUGACAUUGGGACAGUGAGAGGUGGAGUAUGGCUGGAGGAAGUGUGGGGAGAGAUGGGCAAUACCAGCAAAAUGGCCCAUUGCAAUUAAGCCCCCAAAUUAUUUCUUGUGACAUUAGGUUUUCAGGAAAUGAAAAGUAGACGCAUUAAAUUAACGAGUAAUCAUCCAUUUUUUUUUAAAGGAGUCAGUUUUGUUUUAAAAUGACUUGCUGCUCUCCUAGCCUGUUCUUAAGUUUUAGUGCAUAAAGACCCGUUUCUCUGAGUUUUCUUAGCUUCACUAUGUGGAGAGAAAGGUGUUGACCUUUAAGAAUGUGGAGCCUGGCCUGGCCAACAUGGUGAAACCCCGUCUCUACUAAAAAUACAAAAGUUAGCUGGGCGUGGUGGCACACGCCUGUAAUCCCAGCUACUCAGGAGGCUGAGGCAGGAGAAUUGCUUGAACCUGGGAGGUGGAGGUUUCAGUGAGCCAAUAUCAUGCCACUGCACUCCAACCUGGGCAACAGAGCAAGACUCCAUCUCAAAAAAGAAAGGAAGAAAAAAGAAUGUGGUGUCUGCAUUUGACCUCAAGGAGCCUGGAGGGAUGGCACAGCUGUUAUUGGUUGCCCCAAAUGGCAUUUUCACAGUUAAAAAUGGCUGUCAUUACCUGAAUCCUCUUAUUGUCUUAAUGAGUUAUUUCUGUUGGAGCUAAAUGUAAUUACUAAAUAAUCAUUUCCAGUUGUUCGUUGAUUAGUUGUGCAUAAAUUAUUUAAUGAAAAUAGACUUAGAUGACCCAGUGGUAGGAAGACCAAUUUCUGGGAAAAACAUCCACUGUAGCCUCUCACACCCCCAGUUGUAGUUGAUUGGAAAACAAAAGCAAAGCAACAAAAUGAUCUUAAAUGCUCUUGGCGACUUUAACCAAACCUGGUCCCAGGAUCAUUUAAGAACUUGUGCUGCGCGGCUCACAGAAACAGAGCUGAAAACAGACCAGUUGCGGCAGUUUCAGUGGGGCGACCUGCAAAUGUUUUCUUUAGCGGGGAGUUUUCAGUGAGCAAUAAAACGGUAUGCCCAGAUUACAUUCCUGGGAAAAGACAUUCGUGUUUGAUUUUCCUUUUCCCGGUGGACUACCUCUCUGAAGUGCUUGGCAUCAAGUCUUCAAACACGAUACAGUGAAAGCGUCUCAGUCUCUUAUCUGCUGUGCUGUUUUCGUCUUCUUUAACCCUUUUCUUCCCCUAUUUGUGAUGGAUUCUUGGGCAAAGCUACCUUCAUCUGAAGGGCCCCAGAAAAAAAAUAAAUAGAAGCAUGCUCUUGAAAAAUUUUCUUUAUGUAUUUAUAUUGUUCAUUCAUUUACACUGUGUCCUUUGCGUCCUAGCCCGGAACAAUGUCUGGCCUGGCUUCAUCCUCAGUCAUAUUGGCUGCUCUCUCUAUAUCACAAAAUGUUAAGUGAAAACGUCAAAAAGUGGUCAUAAGCUAUUUGCUUCAGUGGCUAAUCGGCUUAAUAAAGUUUGAGAGUCUUUGACUCUCAGAGCUUAAAUGAGCUUAAUUGAAAUUUUGAGCAAAGCUUAAAAAGCCAGAUUUCGCCAUCAUGCCUUGUGAAAGGAGUGUCAUGACUUUGAAUAGCUGGAAUCUGUAAGCUGCUCAUAGUUAGUGACUCUAAGUAGAUACCGAGGCCUGUCUUGCUCUUGCUGAUCUGACCUGUGCAGUGUUCCAGCCUGCAGGUAGGGUGAAUGCAAUGCCACGCUUGCUUGUGCUUUAACCUACGAACCUGAAGCCCGUGACAAGGGGGGUUAGCACUGAUGUCAAGAUAAUCUCUGUCCUUUGCAGCUAUUCUUGUCUGUGACGGGAUUAUUUUCCAAAUCACUGUGGUUGUAACGUUGAUGCCUCUUUAACUCUGUUGCCUGCCAUAGUCCCUGGAGGUCAGUUAGUUGCCAUGGUUGUCUCUUCUAGCUCUGAAAGAUAGAUCCAUUUCCUUUUCCACUGUAAGUUUCAUAGGCAAGGACCUUCUUUCUGUCCUGACUUACCGAGACAACCCCCAACAAGUCUGCCUGCUCCUAGCAUUCUGUUCCUCUUGCCACAGUAGGCUUCUUAGACCUAGAUCAUAUUUAUUGGGAUCUGCCUCUGCUUAAAAACUCUCAGCCAUUUGUUACUUACAGAGUAAAAUCCCUGUCAGUCACCAAUGAAGACAUUAUUUUGUGAGCAACUGCUAUGGGCAAGAUCCAAUGCUCGGUACCGUAGGAACCCAGAUCAUGUCCACUUGCUUAUUCACCUUGUGUCCUCGAUUAGUUUAUAAUUUCCUGUAGGCCAGGAAUUGUACUUGAUGUGUAGAAGUGCCCAGCAACAGGACUGGCUUUUCAUCAGCAUUCUUGAUUACGUAGCUUCAGUUGAUGAUAGCUCAUUAAGGUCUACAGCUUGGAAAAUUAUGUACAUAGUCCUCUCAAGGCUGUUAGAUGUGACUCCUAAUGUUUUUGAAACUGUCUAUUUAGAAUUCUCUUCAGAACUCAUAAGUUGUGAAAAGAGUCUUAUUACUCCAUCCUUUUGUUCAAGACACAAUUUGCUGAAUGCCUGCUUGGUGCUAGGUGCCGUGUCAAGCCUUUGUUAUGCCAGAAUGUGUGAAAGCCCACCAAGCACACUGCCAGGAACACACCAGAGGCAAACAAGCUUAGGUUUAUUACCUUGUGCUGCAGUAAGAGACAGUCACACCAUGGAGAGGUGUGGGCAUUUCAACAGAUGGAAGGUUGGGAAGAAUAUCUUAUAGAGUUUUCAGGGCUGAAGUUAGUCAUAGGAUGCUGUUGGAAGAGAUUGGUCAGAACUCGUAAACCAGGAGUUGCUGGGACAAUCAGUGCUCAUAUCUUGAGGACAGGUGACUGUGUGGUGUUAUAGGUAGAUCGGGUUUUCUGUGGCCUUAUUUAGAACGUAUGUGAUGUAGUUUGGUUACCUGUCCCCACCCAAAUCUCAUGUUUGGAAAAUGUAAGCCCCAGUGUUGGAGGUGAGGCCUGGUGGGAGGUGUUUGGACCAUGGGGGUGGAUCCCUCGUGAAUGGCUUUGGCCAUCCUCUUGGUGAUGAGUGAACUCUUACUCUGAGUUCACAAGAGAUCUGGUUGUAUAAAAGCGUGUGGCCCCUCCCCCUUCUCUUGCUCCUGUUUUCACCCUGUGAUGUGCCUGCUCCUCCUUUGCCUUCCACCAUGAUUGGAAGCUUCCUGAGGCCUCCUAGGAAGCAUAGGCCACUAUGCUUUCUGUACAGCCUGUGAACCAUGAACCAAUUCAAUCUCUUCCCUUAUAAAUUACCCAGGCUCAAGUGUUUCUUUACAGCAGUGCAAGGAUGGCUGAAUACAGCAUGUGUCUGAAUGAGCAGGUGCAGAGUCUGAGUUCAGUUGGUGUUGCGUGUCAUGGCUUAAACGGGUUUUCAGUGUUGUGAGUCAUAAUCCAUUUUGCAAGUUAUGGUUUCGGUUCGAUUUUUCAGAUCCCCCUCACAUCUUAAUUGCCAGCUGAAUUGGCUUUCCCUUCAUCAGAAGGAUAAUGACAAGUUCCUGUUCUCAGGAAGUCCCCAGUCUGGGCUAUUAUAAUAUAAUUUGAUAUGUACUACAGUAGAGAUAUAAAUACGGUGUUAGAGAGUUCAGAAGAAGGAAACUUUUUUUAAAAGAAACCAAAACUUCGUUGAAAUCCUACCUGCAAUGUGCAGAGCUCUACACAAUUAUGUACUGCUCAAAUUAUAUUAUUUUAUUUGAUCCUCAGCAAUCUUACAAAGUAGGUAUUAUUUUUAUUUUAAAUUUUAAAGUCAAAAAAGUGUGAUGCCAAAAAAGUUAGAUGGCUCACUCAAGGUCACCCAGCUAAGAGAUGAGUUUAGGACUUAAUUAAACAAAUGUUUGCUGGGUAGUAUUCUAGGUGCUUUAUAUAAACUCCAAAGUAGACCUUUGAAGUAGCUACUACUCUAUUCUAUUUCAUCACAAAGAGAAAUGAGCCUUGGGGACAUGAAGUAACUGGUCUAAAGUCACAAAGCUGGUGACCAUGUAGUAGAGGCAGGAUUCAGACCCCAGUGGCGUGGCUCUCUGGGCCAUGCACAUGGCCACUUUGCUCUGCUGCUUCUCCUCAGCCCUUAUCAUUGGGCUUUCAUGUCCAUGUCUUUAAUCACUGUGCUGGUGUGGCUCAUGGACAGGAGAAGCUUCACAGAAGGGUGGACAUGUGGGCUGGAGUUUGCUAGAUAAAUAGAAUAUCUCUGGAUGGAUCAGGAAGAGAAGGCUGUGACAUAUAAUUCAGGAACAGCAGCCCUUGAGGUGCCCUGGGAACAGGAAAAGCUGUGCUCGGCCAGAGGUGGGGUGAGGCUUGAGUGUGUAGAAUCAGGGAGCUGUGGGUGGCAGUGGUAGAGAUGGAGACAGGCGUUGGAACCAGAUUGGGACUUCACGCUCACCCCUUGCAUUUGACCAACAGGAUGCUUCUCUUCCCAAUACCUCUCUUGGCUCUGAAUGGUUACUCUGGUCUCAAUGCAUCCCCUAAGGAGAGAGAUGACCAAAGAUACUCAUACUAACGGCAGUUCCAGAGAAGACGUUCUAGAAAUGUGUUAAGGAAAAGAAGCUUUAGGAAAAAAUGCUGCCUAGAGAUAUUCUUACAGCAAUUGCUUUGAUUAGCAUUACACUCAUUUUAAUGUCUGCAUCCUUAUAAGUUAGAGGAAGAAAAUGUCACUACUUUUCAAUCAGUCCAGAGUCUGGAAAAGCAGCUUUUAUUUAUGCAGUGCUGAGAGCUGACUUGCAUUUAAUGUUCACAUCAAUUUUUAUAUAAGGGAGAUGCUGUUCAUGUCUCAGUUGCAUAGUUGAGGAAACUGAGGCUCAGAGGACUCCAAGGAGUUUGGCACCCCACACAGUGAUAGGUGGUAGAGUCAAGAUUUCAACCCACUUUGAUUCCAGAGCUUUUUCUGUCACAUUACUUCAAGAAGUCUAUGUCAUUUUAGCUUGUGAAAGUGCAGUAUGUCCCAAACACAAUGGCCAAUCUUACGUCAAGGACAGUCAGUAGUACAGAGAGGCAGGAGCAGCCUGGAGUAGUGGGGAGAGGCAGUAGUAGGAGGACCAAGAGGAGGGGACUCAUCAGAGCCUCUCCCACCCUUCCCCAUUCUGUGUCAGACCUGCCCCUGCUUCCCAUCCUUGGGACUUCCUGGUGUAAAAUACUAUCCCACCCAGUGUUACUCCUUAGACAGCAAGAGAUAGUCCAAAAACUAGACUGAAAUUCCAGGUCUCGCUGUGGGCAGUGGCGCUCCUCUUCACUUUGCUGGGACAUUGGUUCAACAGCCAAUUAGCAUAUGUAUUUGUGUUGACCCUUCUGUUACCAACCUAGUAGUUUACUUAUUUAACAAAUGACUGGUGCCCUUGUUAGGUGCUGUGGGCACAGAAAGGUCUUUGAUGGCUCUGGAAAACUGAUGAUAUUUCUUAAUUUGGGGUAUGACAUUCUAAAUUUUUGUAGCACCAGGGAAAACGUGGUGGCAGCAGGUAAUGAGCCCAAGGCUACACAUUCUGGAAAUAAAAGGAAUGAUUUGUUACUAUCUUUUUUUUCCCCCUGUAGUGUGAGCUUAUGGAUCAGUUGUAUUAGUUGAUUAACUUACUGUAAGUAGAAUUUGUCCCUUUGGCCCUUUGCAUACCCCUGCCAUUAGUGCUAUCUAGUCUGGCUAAUAAGGGUCUCCACGUUGAGUUAGGCCACCAGUAUCUGACUCCUGAUUCCUUGGCUCAUUUUGGACAAGUUAUUUAAACUUUUGAUGCCUUACUUUUUUAUUUUGAAUAUGGAAAUAAGAGUACCUACCUUAUAGGGUUGUUUGAAAGAUUAAGUAAAAAAAAAUCAUUGAAAAUCACUCAGCACAUUACUCAGCACAUAGUAAGAGCUCAGUAAAGGAUAAGAAUAGUAAAUGUCACGUGAGCCCCUGUUGUGUUCCAGGCCUGGGCAUGGGCUCAGCACUGCACGGCUCCCAGGGGUGCCUUCCACGUGGACAACGAUGUGAAUAUCGCUCUGGAAUUGUGCAAUGCAGUGACCCCAUUCCAGAAACUGCUCUGAGUGCUUCACAUGUGUUAGCUCUUUAAUCCUUAAAAUAACCCAUUAUUGUUCCCACUUAUAAUUCAGACAGAGAGAUGUUAAUGGCUUUGCUCAAGUUUAGCCAGCUGGUAGGUGGCAAAGCUGGGGUGUGAGCCGUUCAUAUUAUUGUGGUAUGGACUGGCACAGUUGACCUGUCAGUCGUGAAAUGGAGGAACACUCUCCUUAACUUGGCUUUCUUUAUUAACCCAUAAUGCAUGGCUUGUCUUUGUGUAUUUUAAUAUUUCUUAGAAGCAGUUUAUAUUUUGAGCUUUUAAAAAUAAUACAUAUAAUUGCUGUUUAAUAAUAGAAAUUCAGAAAUUCACUUGACCUUGGGAAAAGGUUAUAUACUUUACUUAUCAAGUUCAACUAUAUGUGAUUAGGGCAAAAGAAAGGAAAGAGGAAAUGGGGGUUGGUGAGAGAGAGGAUGAGAACAAGCCCACUGGAUAUUUGAGUGGAACCAGCACAUCUACCUGCCCAUCCAUCUGUCUCCACUGAAGGAUAUGUCACCAGCCCAUGUUCUUCACUCAGAUGGCUUCAGUUCUCAUGUGACUUUAAUAAUGCAGGCAUUGUGCCACAUGGAGUGUAGUAAUGCACUUUUCAUACAACAUAGCCUAUAAGUGAAGCCAGGUAUUUUAGCUGGUACUCAACCAGAGAAGCAAGGAUUUGCUCCAAUACCAGAAGAAAAAACUAGCUGUGCUAGAAUUGUUGACAAGUGACAUGGAAAGUCCCCGGUGAGAUGCCUUUCUGAGGGAUUUUCAAGAGGACCAUCCUCUUCAAGAGACCAUUUUUUGCCUGCGUGGUGAUCAGUGACUUUCUGAAAUGGUCCUGGACCUUCCAUGGCACCUCCCUUGGCCACAGACCGACUAGGAAAAGCACCAACAGGUUUGUUCCAUUCUUCUCUAUUUUCUCCUACUCUCAACCUGAGUCCUCCCUUGACCUAGCCAGCCCCUUUGCAUAGGAUGGUUUGCUGAGCUGUAUUCCUCUCUCUCUUCAGGGUCCUGUAUUGCCUUUCUCUUUUGGCACUAGAAGCCUCUGACCCUCUAUGCCCUUCCUGAACUUUGUUGGCUCUUACCUGCCUAGAAGGAGAACUCAGACACAUGAAUUAGUACCAUUUAUGUUAUAGGGAACUUUUUGCAACCUUCUGAAUAUUUCAAAAUUAGUUUUCUUCCUCCAAAAAUUUCAUUCAGGAGGCCAAAAUGAGAAGGUUUUUCAUUUUAAGGUUAAAGUCUCUGUGAUAGUGAGAUUACAAUAGAGAUAGAUCAGUGCUGACUCCCUUUCCCUCAGAUUCUCAUCCUGCUUGCUGCUCUAAGGGUAGCAGCCUUAUAGGAACAGAUAGCAUUGGUGGCAUUUUCAUGAGAGCUUAGGGGUAUCUGACAAUUGAAAGCAGUUAUGACAAGGCUGUGUAGUUUCUCUGAUUGCCACAUGGAGGCAACUCAGGGCACCAUCAGAAUUGGAGGAGAUGAGUCUUUAUAUAAAAAUAGGAUGUUGUUGAUACAAUGAAGUCAAAAGAUGAAUCACCAUGCCCUCUACACCCUAACAAAACAUGUCUUCCUUUCUACUUAAGACCCAAAUAAAUUACUUUCUUCCGCUGCCAUUCACAGAGCUAAAUUAGAGCCUAGCUGAGAUGGAGCAGAACUUGUUUUGUCUAGGAUGAAGCAAACCAAAAUGGCAAGAUUACCAGUUGCUACAAGGGCCUAGCCACAGUGGGCACUCAGGUGUUAGUUCAUCUGCUGUUUGCUGAGGGGAUUUCAUUCCACAAGUUACUUUUGUCAGGGGGCUGUAUUAGGAGAAUAUUCUUGCCCUAAUGUUGUGGGAGUCUGAGAGAAGGAGCUGUAUUAGUCUGUUUUUAUGCUUGCUGAGAGAGAUAUACCUUGGACUGGGCAAUUUACAAAAGAAGUAGGUUUAAUGGACUCACAGUCCCAUGUGGCGCAGAGGCCUCGCAAUCAUGGUGGAAUGUGACAGACACAUCUCACAUGGUGGCAGAUGAGAGAAGAAAACUUGUGCAGGAAACUCCCCUUUAUAAAACCAUCAGAUCUCAUGAAACUUAUUCACUGUUACAAGAACAGCAAGGGAAAGAUCAUUCCUCAUGAUUCAAUUACCUCCCACCGGGUCCCCCCCCCCCAACGUGGGAAUUGUGGGAGCUAUAAUUCAAGAUGAGAUUUGCGUGGGGACACAGCUAAACCAUAUCACUGGCUUAGAAAUGUGAAUACAGAAUCUAAAUUGAGCCUAUUCUUCAUUUUUACACCUGAUUGCUUUGAAUUAAUCAGGAUUGAACUUAAGUGGAAUGCUCCCUGGCUUCCUCAAAGCUGGGUUCAUUGAACCUCUUAGGUCUUGCUCAUAAUUUCUCUCUCAAGGUUGUCAUCACAUUUUGUCAGAAUUACCUGUUCCAUGCACUUCUUAACGGUUGAGACUGUGACAUAAUUGGUACCGAAACUGGUGUCUGGCAUAUAAUUGGUGCUUCUUUGUGGAAUGAAUGAAUGGUGUUAAGAUGUUAUAUUUUUCCUUUUUUCAGCAAGUUUCUUAAAUAACAAAACCAGAUGGAUUCUAUAGGGAAUGUGACAGGAUCAUGCCAGCUCUCAACAAAAGCACUAUCCAGGCAUUUUACGUACUGAACCAGCUGUGCUGGGAUUUUUAUUUAAAGAAAUAUGAUGUGAAAGGCUGUGUUAACCCUCUGAACCCAAUUUUUAGAGAAUGUGAAAUUGUAAAAGCUUGGAAACCUUAAGAUGAAUGAAAAUUCUUUUUCUUACCAUUUCUGUACUAGAACCAAAAGAAUGAGAGGGCCUAGGACCAGAUCUCUUUAAAGUGGAGUGGGCACUUACAGUUACUGCAGUUCUAAUCGAAUGAGGGUUAGUCCAUGAGUCACUUAUUCCGAGAAAACUAAAGGAGUUUUGAAAGCCAGGAGAAGCAAGUGAGUUAGCCAGAAGAACAUCAGCAAACAAGGAUAUAGUCCAUCACGCUAAGAAAAUGAUAUUUCCUGUCUUCUUUAAACUGAAUCUGGACAGCUCCAGGAUUAGAAUCAGUGUUCUGGGUUUUUAUAAUUGAAUAUUAUAUCACAAAAUUGUUUUCCAAGUUGCCACAUUAUCAUUUUAAACAAAGUCAUAGCAUCCUAUUAAAUCAAUCUGCUCUAAUUUGGCUGGUUGGUUAUUUCCAAUUUUUUAAAAAACUAUAAUAAGUAAUGUUGCCAUGAGCAUCUUAUUGUGUACAAAGUUUCUUUAUUCCUUUAGGAUGAAUUGGUAGUGCAUUAAGGGUGAGAAACAUUUUUGUGGCUCUGGAUACAUAUUGCUAGAAUACUUUUCAAAGGGCUGUAGUGAAUACAUCCAGGGCCUAUUUUAGCUCCUUUUGAAAACCGUGUGCUCCCACUCACUGUCAUUCACUGCUUUGUGAUCACCUGUUCUUGUUAUAAAUCUGAAACUGUAUACGCCACAUUGCUCCCUCUUUAUCACUUGCCACAAGCUCAUACAAAAGCCAGGAUCCCAUGAGUUUCAGUCCCAGGAGAGCACCAAAUUGAAGGAAACGUCCAACAGUAAAAGUCAAUUAGAAAUAUUUAUUUUCAGUGUUUAUUAUUUCUCUCAAAGAAAUCUAGUGGACAUUCUUAAAAUGCUGGUCCUUUCCUUUUCAGUCAUGUACGCUGCACUUGCUAGAUGCCUCUCCAUCUCUCAUCCCAUUGCUAUCUCACCUCUCAUUGGCUUCUCUUUUUUUUUUUCCUAUUGGCACCUGCUGUCUAGUUCAUUUAUCCAGCCAUGUUCCCAAAGCCCAAUUUUUAAAAAAACUAUACAGCCCUUCUUGCUGUACAGAACCUCUUCGGGGAAAUAGAGUCUAAAUGUCCUCUUGGGAUUUUCUCACUCUCAGACUCAGACUUCAUGUAACAAGGGAAAAACCCUGAAGCCGACCUGGCAAGCAAGAAUAUACCUUCGUUAGAAGCAGACAAGGAUGGGGGAAGACCAGGGAUAGUCACAUGUUAAUAAUUUUGUCCCCACCACAGAUGAUAACAGCAAUAAUAACAACAGCACUUAGAUGUUAGUCAGGCCAGGCACUAUUCUAAGCACUUGACAUGUAUUGUCACUGAAUCCUCAUAACAACCUUAUGAAUUAACUAACAUGAUCAACCCCAUGUUUUAAGUGAAGAAACUGAACUAGACAAUGUUUUAAGUUUCUUGAUGUCAUACAGUAAGUGACAGAGCUUGGGAUAUACACUAGGUGGUCUUGCGCUAGAGUCUGGGUUCUUAACUACUGUACCAUACUGCUUCAGCUUGCUUAUAUACAUACAUGCACAUACAUGCAUGUGUUAAUCUGUGAUAUAUUACAUAUAUAACACUUUUGGAUUUUUCUUAUUUUGUCAAAAUGUAGAGCAAGAACAUGAAAACACUAUGGAGUACCCAUUUCUUAUGAGUUAUUUCUUUUAAUUAAAAAAAUUUCCUUUUCCAGGUGACUUUGUGCUACUGUAUCAGUCUGUGUCAGAUCUUAUUGAUCCAGGCUAUGGAUCUUUAUUACUUCUUGUGAUGAAAAAGGCAUGUUUUGACAAGGUCAGUGGAAAGAUGCAAUACAUCUUAGACUCCGGAAUAUCCAUCUAGUAAAAUGGAUGUGCUAGUUUACUGACAGGUGUGGUGCUGAGGCUCUGAAAGAAAGGAGUUUGUAAUUUGAUUUUUACCAAUUUAUCAAGUAAAUGCACACAUCCUGCCUAUGUCUUGGGUUUGUUUUUCUUGCAUCAGCUUUCAUCAUUUAUAUUUUUCUUUCAGAUAUGCCAAUUAGGUGCCCCAGUUCAUUGUUUUCAGCCCAGAGACAUGCACUAUGCAGUGCUCAGAUAAGAUUCCCCUUCUUUGGAAAAAUUGGUCGCAUAUUACAUACAUGGACACACUUUUCUCAGUCAGAGGACAAAAGUAGGAAGUUUUUGAUUUUGUUCAAGAAGAAAAUGGCAAUUUAGGUCACUCUUCACAGGAAAAAUUGCCUUUAAAAACAUUAAUAAAACAUUCACUUUGAAAUGCUGCUGCGAGUCUGCUCUUCAAAGAGGAGUGCCUGUUGAGAAAAGGCAAUAGCCAUCCAGUUUUCUAUAGUGGAAAGAAUGCUGGAAUAGGGUUGAAGAGAUCUGAGGUUGCAGUCAUUUCUGCUGAUUUGGGGGGUUUAUUAUCUUCUGAGUUUUACUGUAUCAUUUGUGAUAUGAAGGUUUGCACUAAAUAAUGUCUAUACCUUUCUUCAUACAUAAUACAUUUAAGAUAAACCUUUCUACAACCAUCUGAUCUUUGACAAGUCUGACAAAAACAAGCAAUAGGGAAAGGAUUCUCUGUUUAAUAAAUGGUGUUGGGAUAACUGGCUAGCCAUGUGCAGAAAGCAGAAACUGGACCCCUUCCUGACACCUUACACUAAAAUUAACUCCAGAAGGAUUAAAGACUUAAACAUAAGAUUUAACAUCUAAAUCUUGGUUUGCCUAGGUUUUCUUCUAGGGUUCUUAGAAGAAAAAACCCUAGAAGAAAACCUAGGCAAAACCAUUCAGGACAUAGGCAUAGGGAAGGACUUCAUGACUAAACACGAAAAGCCAAAAUAGACAAAAACUCCAGAGCUUCUGUACAGCAAAAGAAACAAUCAUUAGAGUGAAUCAGCAACCAACAGAAUGGGAAAACAUUUUUACAAUCUAUCCAUCUGACAAAGGGCUAAUAUCCAGAAUCGACAAAGAACUAAAACAGAUUUACAAGAAAAAAAAACAAACCCGUUCAAAAGUGGGCAAAGGACAUGAACAGACAGUUUUCAAAAGAAGACAUAUAUGAGGCCAAUGAACAUAUGAAAAAAUGCUCAUCAUUGAUUAUUAGAGAAAUGCAAAUCAAAACCACAUUGAGAUACCACCUUCUGCCAGUUAGAAUGGUGAUCAUUAAAAAAUCUGGAGACAACAGAUGCUGGAGAGAAUGUGGAGAAAUAGGAACAUUUUGCACUGUUGAUGGGAGUGUAAAUUAGUUCAACCAUUGUGGAAGACAGUGUGGCACUUCCUCAAGGACCUAGAAAUAGGAAUUCCAUUUGACCCAGCAAUCCCAUUACUGGGUAUAUACCCAAAGGAUUAUAAGUCAUUCUAGUAUAAAGACACACGCACACUUAUGUUAAUAGAGGCACUGUUUACAAAAGCAAAGACCUGGAACCAACCCAAAUGCCUAUCGACGACAGACUGGACAAGGAAAAUGUGGCACAUAUACACCAGGAAAUACUGUGCAGCCAUAAAAAGUGAUGAGUUUGUGUCCUUUGUAGGGACAUGGAUGAAUCCGGAAGCCAUCCUUCUCAGCAAACUGACACAAGAACAGAAAAUCAAACAUUGCAUAUUGUCACUCAUAGGCGGAUGUUGAACAAUGAGAACACAUGGACACAGGGAGGGGAGCAUCACACACUGGGGUCUGUUGAGGGGGACUAAGGGAGGCACAGCGUGGUGGGGUGGGAGGUUGGGGAGGGAUAAUAUGGGGAGAAAUGCCAUAUAUAGGUGACGGGGAUAGAGGCAGCAAACCACAUUGCUGUGUAUGCCUCUAUGCAACAAUCCUGCAUGAUCUGCACAAGUACCCCAGAACCUAAAGUGCAAUAAAAAUAUAAAUAUAUGUAUUUAUAUAAAUAAAUAAAUAUAAUAAACCUCUAUGUAGGUGGCCUUUAAUAUCUGUCUGUCCUGUGCAGUUGAUUCUGGGGACUCCCAGGAAUUGGCAAUGCCUCCCUGCUGGACAGUCCUCACUCCCCUCACAUUCUUACUUAUCAAUCUGAACUGGCUGGCUGAAACUCAAAAUUAGCAAUUCCUUCCUUAAGAUUAAGCACUAGGUAAGAUAAAAAUAUUCCUGGGAGAAUCUAUGUUAGUUAUAUGCUAUAAUUAUUUAGUUCAGUUAACUAAUAAGCAGUAACUUAGUAUGUCAACUAUUUGAGAUACUGUGUUGGGCUCUGGGUGUGUGUGGAGUGGGUGAGGAGGAGUGCAAAGAUGCAUGAGAGAUGGCCCUGCCCUUGAUGCUGGAGAAUGGGCAAAGCUGCAGUGUCAGGUGAGAGCUGCCUGUGAUGGAUGCUGUACGAGUUUAAAUGGGGAGAGGGAUUGCUGGGAAUCUUUUUAAAACUGAGAUCAGGUUUGAACAUGACUUUCCAAGAUGGUUGACUGAACAAAAGACAUAGGUAAGAACCUAUGGCUUGACAUGAAUCAAAACUUAUAGAUGGGAAUAGCCAAGGCAUGUUCGCAACCAGUUCAAGGUCAAGCCAGAGUACCAUUAAAGGUGGACAAAGAGAAUUGGAAUGUUGUGGGCUGGGUAUGGUGGCUCGUGCCUGUAAUCCUAGCCAUUUGGGAGGCUGAGGCAGGCAGAUAACCUGAGGUCAGGAGUUUGAGACCAGCCUGGCCAAUAUGGUGAAACCCUGUCUCUACUAAAAUUGCAAAAAUUAGCCAGGCAUGGUGGCAUCUACCUGUAAUCCCAGCUACUCAGGAGGCUGAGGCAGGAGAAUCGCUUGAACCUGGGAGCUGGAGGUUGCAGUAACCCGAGAUUGCGCUGCUGCACUCUAGCCUGGGCAAUAGAGUAAGACUCUGUUUCAGAAAAAAGAAAAGAAAAUUGGAAUGAAUGCAAUAAAUGAAAAGGAGUGACCAUUUAUUUUUGAACAAGGGACUGAUAUACCAAUGGCGAAUUUGAGAAACUGUGUGUGGCAGGGCAAAAUAGUUUUGAGAGGAAACAGUCCCUAAGGCUUCCAAGUUCCAACCCUUACUCCUUGAAUGUGUGUUUAAAAAAUUUGAUCUGAAGAUCCUUUUGGGAAGAAAUGUUGAGUAUAAAUAUUCUUGCCAGCCAAUAUAAGCAGCUCUGGAAGAAAAAGGAAAUGUUUGAGGGAUGCUAACGUGAAGAGACAGGGCUUGGAAUGCCCACUCAGGCCUGGUUUUCUAGUCCCAGCAACAUUAAUGUUCAUCCUGUUUCUUCCUUCAAUUUUUCUGGCCCUUAAGACAGCAAAUGUCAAACUGUGAAAGACCACAAGUACUUUUCUUUGUUAUAUUUAGCUUCUCAUAGUUUUUAAAAAAUAUAAAAGCUAUAAAAUCUGCCUCAUCUCUCAUUUCUCCAUCCUUUCACUGGCUGAGGAUGUAUUUAACAGGUUUCAUAUUGGAAUUGCCAGGAAAAGUUCAGGCUGUUUAUGUCUGCAUAGCAAAUCAUCCUUGAGUCUAGGGGCUUAACACAACAGUCACUUCCAUACCUCACAAAUCUCUAAUCUGAGCUGGUCCAGGUAGGGAGGUUCAGGUCUGCUCUGUGUGCCAUCAGCUGGGAUGGGUCGAGUGGAGGCUGGAGGGUCCACUUUCAAGAUAGCUCACUUACGUGGCUGGCAGCCAGCGGAUUGCAGAUGAGGGGUCAUUAGAAGACCCAACAUGAGGGGAGCCCUGCUUCCUGUCCACAUGCACCUGUGGUUUGUUGGCUUCCAUAUAGCACGGUGGCUGAGUUCCAAAAGUGAACAUCAGGGGUUGUAAUAUGCUUUAUGUGCGUAACUUGGGUUGUGCUUUGAAAAUUCUAACCCUUUGAUUAAGGGAUAAGGGUAGGCCCUUCAGCUACAUAGUUCUUUAAAAUCCAUGUCCCUGACUCUGAUGUCCUACUUAAAGGACUGAUGUCCAUGGGAGAUAUUCCAGCCCUCAAAGUGUGUGGGGUGCCUGAGCUCUCAGCAAAGAUGGGAAGUUGAGUCACACUGAUGUGAACUGAGGUGAUGAUGGGACUCCCUGGGUAGAGUUGUCUUGAAGAGGCACAGAAUCAAUCAUAAAAUACUAUUCUCUGUGAUUUAAAAGUCAAGUGCUCAGUUUUCGGCACUCUCUUAAUCUUGUUCAAAAGGAAACUUAAGAGAAUGUUGCUGUACUGUUUUCUUCAAAUGAGUUCUGUGCGGCUAAAGUUACACUUGGUAGCUCUUGGCUUGUCUUUAGUUUCAAAUGUAGGGGGAGAGGGGAUGUUGUUUGGAGAGUCCUCUAAGCCCUCUCUGCUGAUGGAAAGAACAUGUUUCAGUGCCUUUUGGCCUCCCAAGUUUCUCCCAAGUUGUUUUUGAGUCAUUUAGAAAUAACUGAACUGGAUUAAGCAAACCCUUUUGGCUUCAUAGCUUCAAUAUUUAUUAGUCACUUGUCUUAUAGAGCAGGUUUUUGCCCUAUAAUCUUCAAGGCUCAGGCCAUUUAUUCUAUGAGUGAUACUAUCUGAUGUCACACUGACAUAUAUCGGUACACUGGUAUUUAUCAAGACUAUUUAUGUAAUGAAACCAUAUGUUGGAAGAAGUCUAUGCCUGUAUCAUUAGUCUUGGAAGCAGAAGCUUUUUCCAUUGGAUGCAGUACCUGGGAUUGUGGUAUAUAAUAUUUUAAUUGAAUCCAGGAUGUUUUGGUAUUACAAUAUUUAGGAAGGUUAAAGAAUUCGAAACAGAAUUGUCCAAGUAAUAAAGAGUGAGCCAUUUUUAUAAAGAUCCUGUUCCCUAGGUGCUCAUGGUUUGUGGAAACCUCAGGUGGAGUCAUUUCUGAAGAAUGCUAGACUGAAAAUAAUGUCACGGGGUCCAGGCAGGAAACAUAGCAUAUUCAAACAGAUGAUUCAGAACAGACCUAUUUACAAAAGUGUUGGCAUGGUUAAAAGAAACCAACAAAGGAUGACGGAAGCACCCUGAGAGGCCACUUAACUUCUGAGCCUGGAGGGGAUUGGGUAGGGAACUAAACUCCUAUGUGGGAGGUGCCACUGGACAGGGGCUGUGUCUUUCACAGAGGAGCAUACCCACCCACCCACCAGGAGGAUGGUGGGAAGAGUAAACCCACCAGUUCCUCAUCUUUCUGAUCACCUGCCAAGGCCUUCCAUUGUCAAACCUCAGCCAAAACCCUGAAAGGCCAGAAGGCUAAUUGCUACGUUCCAUUAAAAUUCAGCCUUCUGGAAUACAGAGCAGCAUUGAGAAGGGUAGAAAGUGGAUUUGAAGGAGCCAGUGGAAAGUAUCCAUCACGACACAUACACACAACCUUAUGGUUUUGGUUUGUCAGGGUUUGUUUUACAAAGACAAGCUCAUCAGGGAGGCCUAAGUUGCAUGGGUAAAAUUAAACAUAAGUCUCUCUCUACUAAUAUAAGGGUGAAAAUUUAGAUUGCAUAGAAAUCAUUCCAAAAUGUCAUUAGCUCUGGGACAAAGAGAAGUUGAGACUUCAUAUCAUUCUUCAGGCCAUGGCAUAGGGAUGGAGUCCUGGGGUUAGAGAACAGGGGAGGGCUAAGGUGUUUGGAACUAACUUUUCCUAAAGAAAAGGAAAUCCUAGUUCUGUAACAGAAAAUAAGACCUCAGCAGAGCCCCUGAGAUGGGCCACGGGUGGGGAAGAAGAGGAAACAUGCCCAUUAAUUAGGUGACAGCAGCCCUUACUACCUGGUCGCAGAGGGACAGAACCCCAAAGGUAGGUGAAAAAUGUGCUCAAAAGGGAGGACAGUUCUGAGACUCAUUCAGCCUGUAUCUCAGAAGUAUACUUAUCUGGUAGAAUGCAGCCACUUGGGGGUCUAUUCACACUGUGGCUUACUUCUCCUUUAAAAAUGAAAUUGUUUAGACUCUGCAUACUCAGUGGGUUCAUGCUGCAUUUUGGUGCUGAAGCUGCCCGAGAUGGAAGGGAAGAGCCUGUGUGUGCUGAACCCCUCACAGUUUCCAGUGUAUGCUAACUUAUUCAAGGUCAUGGAACACGUGGUAUAUGACAAUGGUACAUGGAAUUUUUUAUGUAUGAGAAAUCAUAGGAAUUUUCAAGGCUACAUCCUUUUGUGAGAAGCCUAACUGCUUGCACAGUGGCUUUCAAUGUACAAGGUAGGUCCAUGGCGUUUCCCAUCCAGUCUGCCUUAAUCCCUAAUAUCCUAAAGGACUUGGUGCAUGACAUGCUCGUGGCACCUGCUCAAAAGCAGUAUUUUAAGGUAGUUUCAGUUUCUUUGGCUUAGAUUGUGUGUUAGUCUGUUUUUGUGUUGCUGUAAGGGAAUACCUGAGACUGGGUAAUUGAUAAAAGAGGUUUAUUUGGCUCACAGUUCUGCAGGGUGUACAAGCAUGGCACCAGCAUCUGCUUGGCUUCUGAUGAGGCGUCAGGAAGCUUACAACGAUGGUGGAAAGUAGAGGGGGAGCAAACACAUCAUAUGAUGAGAGUGGGAGCAAGAAAGAGACAGGGGAGGUGCCACACUUUUUUCAACAACCAGAUCUUGCAUGAACUCAGAGGGAGAACUCACUCAUUAUCACAAGGAGGACACCAAGCCAUUGAUGAGGGAUCUCAUCACCCAGACACCUCCCAAAAGGCCCCACUUGCAACACUGGGGAUCACAUUUCAACAUGAGAUUUGGAGGGGACAAAACAUCAAAACCAUAUCAGAAUGAAUCUGACUCUUUCUCCCAAAAUAAGGAUGUGAACAACCCGUUGAUACUUAGAAUUCAUGUACACUGAAGACUGCUUUUAGAAAAAGAAAUGUUCACAUAAAUAGGUUAUAGUUCCUUAAAAAGCCAGGUUCAGCAGAUGUAGCCAUAAAAAGAUUCACAGGAGCUGAGAAGUUCCUUAUGGCCAUUUAAUUUGAAAGUCACUUUAAUUUGUCAUUGGUCUUGAAUUCAAAUAUUCACAAAGGUAACCCUUGGGCAGAAGAAUAAAUCAGUACUGUUAAUUGCACUUGUUUAAUUCAACCAUGAGGAAAAUCAAUCCUUUCAUAAGCGCCUGGUUUCUGCUGCUGAACCAGCCCUUUUAUUUUGUGAUGGAAAGAAAGGUUAUAAAAUGUUUUUAAUUAAAAGUUUUAAUCUUUUUUGCCCUUCUCUAGAAAUACAUUGUGGAAGAAUACUAUUUUAAUUAGAAGAAAUAUUUAGCUCAAUAAUACUAAAUUGUAACUGGCUAUAAUCAGGAAAUGAAAUAAUCAAGAUAGGACAUCUGAAGGAACCCACAAGGUUUCUUAUAGGUAUGCAUAUAAGAAAUUUACACUGAGAUCUGUAGUUUUUCAGAAUAGGCACCAAGGAAUCCUGGUAAUAAAACAACAGGUUGGCCAUUUGCUACGUGCAAAACUAAUUUGAGAAAUAGAAGAGGAGGUUAUUUCCUUCAAGGAGCCAAUCUGAUUGCAGAGAUAAAACUCAUGAAAGGUGAUUGAUAUGCAAGAAUUAAAUGACCGUUCAGUUGAAAUGAUGCCACAAAACUGUACUUAUCUUCCAGAUAAAUAGUACUGGUAAUAUGUGCUUUAUUUGGAAAAGAGAGAGAUGGUUGUGGAAAGGUGUGCAGCGAGUUGGAGAUGGAACUUGAAUUGGAUUUUUAAGGAGGAGUAGGACUUGGAUAGACUUAGAAGGGCCUUGGGCAUGACAGAAGAAAAGCAAGAAAUAAUAGGGCUUAAAAUGGCCUGGGAUCUUCAUGGCCACGCAAUCUGGAUGGUACAUGAAUACCGCCAGUGACUCACUGCUUUCGUGUGUAACCUGCUCUAUUUUUGCACAGCAUUAGUCAUCAGAAAGUACUUUUGUUUAGUCUUCAGGUGAAAUCUAUCCCUGCCCCUUGAGCUUCUAUUUGAGUUCUUUCCGUGUACAGAAAUAUAAAACCCUCUUCCAAAUAUGAGCCCUUGAAAUAUGUGAAGAGGACUAUUUUGUAUCCCCUAAGUUUUCUUUUCUUCCCCAGUCCUUCAGCUAUGCCUCAUUUUUCAUUGUUUCCAGAUACUUUGCCUUCUUGUUCAGUUUUCUCUGUGUAUCUUGAGACCCUUCACCAAUACGUCCUUCCCUUGCAAAGCAUGGUCUGAUCCCAGCCCUAUUAAAAACCUACAGCCCCUCUGCAGCACCCAGAAUAAAUCUGGCCUCCUUGCUUACCUGUGACAUAGUUCUUCAAUGGGGGCCAAAAAGUGUUUGUACUGUGCACCCUUCCUCCUCUUCAGUAAAAAUGCCACCUGUGCCAGAAGACAUGGCAUAACUGUUACAUAGCAUCUAAUGUGUGAUCUACCUCCACUUUUCCCCAUGAGUGGGCAGGGAGAAGAUGGGGAGUGGGGUUUUGCGGUUGUACAUGUUCCCCCUUUUCCCCUUUGGUGAGAGAGCAAGGCCAUUGUCUGAGUGCUAUGGGCACUAUCUUUUGUUGUCUUGGCUACUCUGUGGCUUCUAGGGAUGCCAAGACUGAUGUGGAAUCAUCCAGCACCACCCCCACUGCUCGCCAUUUUGGCCAUGGUUCAGUGCUGUGUUCUUGCCCUUCAGAGCUGCCAAGCCUUCACAGGGCCACCACCACCCUGUCCUGCAAGUGAGCUUAUGAGGCCCCUCAGGCCCUGAUGUAACAAAAGGACUAUCCUGGCUGAAUUUCUGAUUUUCCCCAUUUCUUGAAGCUAACAGGGUCUCCAGGGCAUCUAGACUGGCUGGGAAAGAAGGUUAGCUGCCAGAAGGACAGAGUCUUGCAGAAUCCAUCCUUCACACUAUAGAUGGGGAGUUGCUCACUUUUCUGUGUGCUGCCCCUGCUCUGUGUUGUCAUGAUUUGAUGAGCUGUUACAGCCUAACUCAGUCACAUGCUUUCAGCAUUCUGAAAGGAAAACCAUGUCUAUAAAUCCCAGGAAGAAGAAGAGAUUGUAGCUUUUGGCUUUACUGAGAAAACUUGAAAUGACUUCUUGCUUUUAUCCUGUCUUAUUUUAAAGUGGGUAGCAUGGUUUCGCUGUAGAUCCCCCUUCCCAUUCUGAGAUUUCUCAUGGUUAGUUGUUGAUUUGCUGUAAACUCCAAGAAUGAUACAGGACUCGGUUUUUAUUCUCUGCAAUAGCACUUACUUCCUGAUGUUUAUCAUACACGUUUGGUGAUUUGUUGUCAGUUGCCUGAGAGUAGGAACUUUGUCUUUGUUCAUUACUCUGUCCCCAGCAUCUGGGGUGGUAGACAUGCAAUGAACAGUGGAAUGACUGCUAAGCCGUUCUUGGUGUAGAAUGCAUUCUUCUCCAUAUUUUGGGGUAGGGCUGGCCUUAUAUAAGAGCCUUGUUAGGUUUUGGCACAAAGAAAUUUCUCCAGGAUGACUGUUGCCUGAAAGACCCCCUCCUGGUUACUUACUAGUCCUUGGGGUUGCUCCCAGUGUCCCCUUGCCGGUGGUCAUCUGCCCAGCCUCACUCUUGGAAUCUUCUGGAAUGAAAAUUUGCCCACUGCCUUUUGCUUCUCUAGGGUUUGGCUCUCUGAGCAUUUCUUGCCUGUUUGUAUGUGGGCUUAUCUGAUUGAUCUGAGUAGUCUACCAUUUGACUGAUAGUUUGCUCCCCAUCUUGUUCAUUACUGUUUUAUAUCUCUGAACCACUGAAAAAUGGCAUCCUAUUUCUUAAAGGACCAUGGCAUUCAGAUCCAGGAAUUAAGCUUCAGGCAAUCAUGUAUUGCUAUCUGCUUUUUACCCAACACUUUUUUUUUUCUAACCAAACACUUCAAAGAGCUUGCUUGCCGCCUUUUCUUCAUUUCUUGCUUCCUUCCUCCCACUCCUCGGCACACAUUUGUUGAUCCCCUACUUUUUGCCAAGCCCUUGUGCUGUGGAUCCGUGGUGAAUAGGACAAGCAGGACGCCUGCCCUCUCAUGCAUGUUAGAGACUAUUAUAAAACAGCGUCCUCACCACCACCACCUGCACACGUUAUGCAUGCUUCAGCUGAAGGGUUGAGUUCCAUUCUGACAGAUACCAUCAUGACAUAGAGACUGAGUUGUGGAAUCAGGCAGAUCUGAGCUGACCUCCCAGGUCUUUCAUUUAUUACCCAGGUGACCUUGGGCAGGUAACAAAGUCUUAAAGCAUCAGUUUCCUCAUUGGUAUAAUCAGGAGAAUAAUAGUCUUCACCUUGCAGAAUUCAUAGGAAGAUAAAAUGAAAUACAAUUUAUGUAAAGCACUUAGGACAGGACCUGACUCUUAAUCAAUGUCAGUAAUGAGAGUGAGGAUGGUGAUAAUCUCCGGGAGCCUGGAUGGAGGAUGUGGAAUUAGUUCAACCUUGAUUAUGAUACAAAUGCUCUUAAUCACCAUUUACUUAACUAAAGGAUAAAAGGUUCUGUUUAAAUUAGCAAAGGGGGAAAAAAGAGGUAAACGUAGUUGUGAUACAUGAGUAUAGUAAUCAUGUUUUCUGAACUUGAAAAAGCAGCCUUUGUGGUAUGACCAGCAGGCAUGGGCACUUCUUGCGGGGGUGGGGGUGGGGGUGGGCACAAUGUUUGUAUUUAGGUCACUGGUUGCUGUAUGAACAGGGCACAACUACCCUAACAAAGAAGCUGCUGAGAGAGGACAAGGGGCUUGUUGGUGAGGGAGCACUGAGGGCAGAGAAAAGGAAGAGGAGAGGAAACAAAACCCCUAGGCUUGCUCAUUUCCUGCUCUAUUUACUGUGACUUACCUAGAGCUCUUUUAGCCUUUCUUUAAAUAAUUGAAGACCAUCUGAAAUACCAGAGCCUUCAUGAACGUUAAGUAAUAUACCUAGUGGCCCUAUGCUAAGCUGGGAGAAAAGUCCUGUGUAUUAUACUCCAAAGGGAUUGCUGUGUGGGUCAUAAAGGAGGAAUUUAUCACCAAAAUAGGAGGGCAGGUACCUGUCUGUACUCGUUCCAGAGUCUGGUUGAGAGCUGUCUAAGGAUUGCAGCCCCCAGAAAUGCUUAGGGCAGAGCAGGUGCACCUGGAAGGACGAACAGUGAGUUGUCCAUGAGUGUUCACAUCUGUAUGGCCUUUAGUGGGAUGUCUGCUUCAAACAGUGAGAGCAGAAAGGGUCUAAAGGGCCAACUACUCAUUAAUAACAACAAAUAAAUUUGUUGCUUGAACAUUCAGCUAAUUUGAAAAUUAUUUCAUUUUUCAAUGCCUUUUAGCAAUUCAAGCACAUAGAAAAUUUCUUUGGGAAUCUUAAUAACAAUUCCAACAAAAAUGUCCUAAAGGAUGGAAAAAAAGUCUCCCAAUUCUCAUAGAAUACUUUUAGCUUUUCAGCAGAGGUAUCCAAACAUAGAGUGUGAAUGUUGAAUAAAUAUAGUUUAGGACAAAAAUAGAAAAUAGAGACUUGUUCUCCUAGUGCGAAAACACGUGUUAACAACCACAAUAUUUUUCUUUUUUUUUCACUGUAAAAAAAAAUUCUGGGUAAAUGUUUCAUGCUGGACAGAUGGCUAUUUUUCCUUUGCAUCUUUUCAUUACCUGCUGAGAGAGAGGUAACAAAAAGGUGGAAAGGAGAAAUAACCAUUUUUCUCCGCCAGAUAACUCACAUUUUCAUGUGUCUUUGUUUUUCUUUAAAUUUCCAUCAGGAAAGGGCUCAGAAAAGAUCGUGGUGAGACGAAGUAUCUUCAUGUAAGCCUGCUAUUUCCUAGGCAUGGUUGGGGGCCCACCCCAACUUCCUGGCACUGUCCUCAGCCCCUUACUGCCUCUUUCCCCCCUCCUGCCCCUUUGCCUUGGAUGCUCUUACAGUGUCCAUGUUUCUUCUCCAUAGCUCUUAUCACAGUAAUAAUUUAAGAAUAAAUUUUGUGGUUCAUUUUUAAGUACUUCCCUUCUUUGCUAGACUGUGAUGUCCACGAGGGCAGGGGGUCAGACUAUUCACCUGGGUAUACACUGGGUCUGGCCACAUGCCUGACGCAUAGUAAGAGCUUGGUUUAUAUUGUUGAAGAAUAGCUGACAUUUAUCGAAUGACAGGCGUCCUCCUAAUGGAAGAAUCAGCCUUUAAAAUACUUGACAAACCAUCAAAAAAAUAAAUAAGCUUCAAAUAAAAUCUAAAAGAAUCUAUGUGUACAAUUUAUUUUGUAUAUUGCUUUGAGUCUUUAAGCUAUUGCAUACAUCAGAUGCUACACUAGCUUAAAUAUGAACAUUCGAGUUUCCAAAAGUGUGAAUUGAGUUCAAAUAAAUUAUUUUAUCUCUUCUUCCCUGUGUGAGUGAGGGAAGGGGAGGGGAGUUUUGCUAAACUGAAGUUAACAUAGAGAGAGAAGGUCAUUGUUGUUGGGGGGUUCCCCAAGCCCAGGUCUCUCAGGAGAACAAUCAAAGAGACAUUGCUUGUGUACCAGCCAGGGUUCCGACAGGAGGUGGCAGGCACUCAAAUGGGUAAUUUGAGGAGAAUUUAACAAAGGGAUGACUUGUGAAAGUGAGGGCGGGGUUUAUAGAAAUCAUUUAGAGAUAGUGCAGCAUCCAGGGCUGGCUACAGCUGAGAGCCUUUAAUGCCUCUAGGCUGGAAAAGUAGGGCAUGAAGAGUUACCAGAACCCACAGAGAAAAGCUAUAAAGAGCUGGGCACCUAAAAGGAGCUUUGAAAAUGGUAACAGCACAUAGCAAACCCACAGCAUCUUGGCAGGGAGGAAGCUAGGGAAGUGGAUGCUUUUCUCCCAUCUCCCAACCUCCUGCCAAUGCCUUCUGUGAGUACAGCAGUCGGGGCAUAAGGGAACCAUUGCUUUAGUCAUGAGGGCCAAUUGUACAAGGCCCAGAGCAGGGUAGAAUAGGUUGGAGAGUGAAGGUGAAAUGCAAAGAGAAGAUACAAGGUAAAAAAGAAGGUAGAAGGCCGGGCGCGGUGGCUCACGCCUGUAAUCCCAGCACUUUGGGAGGCCGAGGCGGGUGGAUCACGAGGUCAACAGAUCAAGACCACCUGGUCAACAUGGUGAAACCCCGUUUCUACUAAAAAUACAAAAAAAAUUAGUGGGGCAUGGUGGCGUGUACCUGUAGUCCCAUCUACUCGGGAGGCUGAGGCAGGAGAAUUGCCUGAACCCAGGAGGCAGAGGUUGCGGUGAGCCAAGAUCUCGCCAUUGCACUCCAGCCUGGGUAACAAGAGCGAAAACUCCGUCUCAAAAAAAAAAAAAAAAAAAAGAAGGUAGAAAACACAGCUUGCAUGCUCUCCACACAAACCCACCAGAGGACACAGAAAGCCUGGAAAGUCUGAAAACUCCAUAUUAAAAUGAGGACAUUUAUGUGAGCACCUUGGAAGGUCAACCUUGGCACUCUCCCAAGCAGAUGUAAUAUUGCCAAUGUCAAGUUGCUGCUCACUGGCAGCAGCUAGCCUUAGAUCUUAGAGGUCUUCCAAAUUCAAUCAUUUGAACAAAUGCUAGUAUUUGCAAGCACCUUGGUGUGUUGGGCGCAGGAGCCUUGCAAGGGUUAUUUUUGGUGCCCCAUUUUCCAGUAGAGCAAGGCUGUUCCUGUAGGCUUUUCUUUAGUAUGGUGACACUCACUGACACUCAUGGUGAGGCCCCAGGAGUAGCACCUGGGAGCUUAUUAGACAUGCAAAUCCAUGACCACACCCCAACAUUCUAAAUCAGCAUCUCUGGGGGUGGGGCUUAGAAAGCCACAUUUUAACAGCUCUCCAGGUGAUUGCUAUGCCCACUGAAGUUUGAGAAGCACUGCCUUUGCAGCUAUUGCAAACUUUUGGAACGUGAAGAAAUAAACUUAAGGCUGUGAGUAAAACAACCCUCACUGCACCAGUACACACAAUUUUUCCAUACUCAUGGCAUACUUUCAAAUAGUCCUGUAAAAUAAGGAAAUUGGAUUAGAGAAGUGGUUUUCAAACAGUGUUAUUUGAUCCCCUUAGAGCCAAAGGGGUCACUGGGCCAAUUCACUCAACUAAUGUAAUGUUUAUAAUAUUUCAUUUGUAUGUAAGGUUCUAAGACUUAAGAAACAUUGAAAAAACCUCUGGUUGAGAUGACCUAAAGUCCUCUCUUGCUCAAAUGUUCUAUGGCAUUGUGUAUAUGUGUCAGUUGGAUUGAUUCAGCAUGUGUGGUAUCUCUAUUUAAUGCUUACAUAGAUACAUAUUUUGUUUCAUUUCAAAAUAUUAGCACUGGCUUAUGGCCAGAAGUGCUAUUUUCCCAUUUCCUGUCCUUUCUGGCCUAGCUAAGGUGUUUUCCCAUAGAUCUUUCUACCCUGAAUGUAUGUAUAAUUUCUAGAAUAGCAGUUAACCCUUGUUGGCAUGUCAUUAGUUGCUUUACUAUCUUUUAUUGGUGUUUUGAACAUGCAAAAAAUUGCAGAAAGUAUCAUUGCAUGUUUGCUUCUAUCAGCUUAUGUGUUUGAGCUAGCCAUGUAAGCAGUGAGUUAUCAUAUAUAUUUUAAUGGAGGGACUUCAGCAGGCAGGAUCAGAGUUGUUCUAAUUCCUGUUGUGUACUUGACUUACAUGACAUCCCACAUGCUCGAGCAAGUGCCUGUCCUUUCUGUGCUUGCAUUUUCUUGUCAAAGGGCCAUGAUAAUAUACUGCCUCCCUAUGUCACAUGGGGUAGCUCCAGAAUUUCUACAUAGAAGGGGGUUUGGGGCAGUAAUCUUUUAGCUGGGGAUAGUAGCUCUCAGCACCUGGUACAGUGCCUGACUCACAGUAGCUCUUCAAUAAAUACGUGAAGUGCAGAAGAAUUUGUAACUCAGAUGUUGACUAGGGUCAGCUGAUUCUUUGAUAUAUAAAACGCACUCGAACUCUGUCCUAGGUGCUCUGCAACCUUAGAAGUUUAUGGUCUCAUGGUCCAUUCUGGCUCUGAUUUUUGGUUGCUACAGAACUCUCGGUCACAUGCUGAGAAUGCCUCACUUGUGACUCUUCCCCUCUCUGCUCUGUGUGAACUUACCACCAACUUCUUCUCCUUGGUUUACCCCGAACAAUUCUUAUACAUGCCAUUUGUGUGCAGUGGAUGCUCUUAGUUAUCUGUGGAUACCAGCUGGGAAACAGUACCACAUAGAUAAUUUAGGGUUAGUUUUCUUUUUAAAAAACGAUAUCCUGGGGAAUAGCACCUUUGAUACGAUGUGAUGAAAACUGCACUUUACUUCUGAAGUCUAAGUCAUCUGAAUCCCUAACCUCAAUCUAAGUAUGAGAGAAACAUCAGACAACUUGGAAUAGAGGGCCAUCCUAUGAUAUGCCUUACCAGGACUUUUCAAAACUCUCAAGGACAUCAAAAGCAAGGCAAGACUGAGAAACAGUCACAGCCAAGAGAAGCCUAUGAAGACAUGGUGAUGAAAUGCAAUGUGGUAACCUAGAUGGGAUCCUGGAACAGAAAAAGGAUAUUAGGGAAAUGCUAAGGAAAUCUGAACAAAGUGUGGUCCUCUGUUCUCAUACCUGGAACAGAAAAUUUUGUUCUGUGAAUUUUCCUCCUUGUUUUUCUUGUCAAGGUGCUGCCCCUGGCCUCCUGCCCCAUCCAUAUCACUGCCCUUCUCCUCAUAUCACUCCUGCUUUGGGGGACCUCUCAAUGUCCCUCAUUCUCAUUAAUUUUUUCAUGGAGCAUUUUGGGGACUCUUUGUUCCACCCUGGCUCAUCCAGUUGCUCUUAAAGUGACAAUUGUCUCUUCUUACUGUAAAUGAACAAACUGACUGACUGUUGUGAGCUGAUCCUCAGUCCAGAUCCAGCUCACCCUAGUAGUUUCACCACAGGGUGAAACCCUGUCUCUACUAAAAAUAUAGAAAUUAGCCAGGCAUGGUGGCACCUGCCUGUAGUCCCAGCUACUUGGGAAUAGUGUGGCCUAGCUCAGGAGAGUGGAAUUGUACCAACUGGAGCACUGCCCAUCAUGGAGAGAAGGGUUUGCUUAUCUUUCAAGGCUUUAUCUCAAUAUUAACUAUAUGUUUUCCUCACAAUGGACAUUAAACUACAUCUAAACUAUGUAUUUAGUUUGGGAAAAAGUAACUUCCAGUGCAGUGCCAGGCACUGAGGACACUCAAAAUUGCCCUUAGUAAUGAACCUUCUAGAAAUAAGUUGAGUUCACUGAGUAGCAGAUUUCAUGGUAAGCUUUCAAAUAUCAUUGUCCCUGCAGAACUUAUGUUCAGAUUGAAAAGUGGGUCCUGAGCCAUGUUAUUCUUAUCAAGGCCAUCCUAACAAAAAUAAGGGGAAGAGAAGGAAAAAAAUAGUUACACUUUUCUGGAGUAGCAGAUGAGUUAUCUCAUUUAAUCCCCACAACAACAUUUUAAAAUAGAUAUUUUUGUCCCAGUUAGAGGCAAGGAAGCUGAGAUGUGCAUAGUAGUAUAGCCUAUGAAUGGCCCAACCAGAGUCCAGAGUCCAGCUGUGCCUGACCCCAAAGCUUUGACUCCAUUCAAAGUCCUGCCCCCUCACUGUUUUUCCAGCAGUCCUGGUGGCAAUGUCAUCAGAAGUACUUGACUUUUUCCAUGUUCUUGACUUGUGCUUUUAUUUGUUGCCAGUGCUUUCUACAGGUAGAGGUUUAAAUUUGCAUGUCAGUUUUCAUACUCAUCAGCAUCCUCCUUCCCCUCACACACCUCUAGUGAACCAGUGGGUUCCUGUGAGAGAUUCUGUGAGAAUACAUUGAAAGCCUGUUCAGGUCCGAUUCUCUUCCUACCCGAGAUGAAUCUAAGAGCCCAACCUCCCAGCUACAGAAGACAGCAUGGCUUUCUGCAAGCCAUUACAUAUUUUCUUAUGUCUUUUCCAGCUUUCUCAUAUGUGGCAGCUAUAAGAUGAAGGAAAGAAGGAGCAUAAUUGGGUUUAGGUGGGCAGCCAGGUAAAGAAAAAUAGAGUCAAGAGGUCGGUCAGUCCUUCUGGGGUCUCAGGGUCUUUUAUUAAGCCAUUUCAGCCAUGAACAGGGGGCAUGCCUUUGUGUUCAUGCCCACUAUGCCUUUAGUUGGCAUCACUUGGGACCAUCACUGUGUUAGUCCGUUCUCACACAGCUAUAAAGGCAUACCUGAGACUGAGUAAUUUAUAAAAGAAAGAUGUUUAAUUGGCUCACAGUUUCACAUUGCUGGGGAGGCCUCAGGAAACUUACAAUCGUGGCAGAAGGUGAGAGAGAAGCAAAGGCACAUCUUACAUGGUGGCAGACAAGAGAGGGCAAUUGAGUAAAGUGGGAAGAGCCCCUUAUAAAACCAUCAUAUCUCCUGAGAACUCACUCACUAUCAUGAGAACAGAAUAGUAGAAACUGCCCCCAUGAUCCAAUCACCUCUUACCAGGUCCUGCCUUUGACACGUGGGGAUUAUGGGGAUUACAAUUUGAGAUGGAUGAGCUUUGGAUGGGGACACAGAGCCAAACUAUAUCAAUCACCUAACCUUUACUGUCUGAGGGAAGGAGUGAUGCUGCAGACAGGAGUCAUCAAGCUGAAGACCACAAUACACACUGACACCUCAUGCUUCAUAUCUGUCUUAGUCCAUUCUGUGUGGCUGUAACAGAGUACCCAAGGAUGGAUAAUUGAUAAAGAAAAGAAGUUUAUUUGGCUCAUGGUUCUGAUGUCUGGAGAGUCCCAGGCCAUGGUCCCACUAUUUGCUUGGCUUCUGGUGAGGGCCAUGUCCCACAUCAAGACAUGGCAGAGAAGCAGAAAGGCAAGGAGGCAAAUACAGGGAGGGACCUCACUUUAUAACAGCUAAUCCAGUCUUUCGAGAAUGAACUCCCUCCUCUAAGAUGGCAUUAACAUACUCAUCAUAAGCGAUCUGUCUCCAUGACCCAGACACCUCCCAUUAGGCCCUACUUUGCAACAUGACCACAACAGCAAUCAAAUUUCAGCAUGAGUAUUGGAGGGGAAAACCAUAUUUAAACUGUGGCAAUAUCUUUAGAAGACUUCAACGGAAUGACUUUUGUCAUUGGAUGAGGGGAUAGAUUUGAACAGCUUUGUAGCAAACACAGUUGAUGCAACUUAGUGGGUUUAUGGGGUUCUUCUGAAUUAAAAAAUUAAUCCAAUUACAACAACGAUAGAAGCAGAAUUCUGCCAUUUGCCUUCUUAGGAGCAGUCUAGUUUCUGUUAAACCAUGUUAGGCUUUGAGACCUGAAACUUAACAGCUGUGUAGAGUAAUGCACUGCUAGAAUGUAGUUAUCCUAUUCAGCCAGAACAAUUUUGGGAGUAGAUAGAGCUUUUGUGGUUGAGGCCACAAACAUUCUGCAAAAAGUUCAGACUCUCUUAAUGGUAGAAAUCUGUCCUCCAGGAGGGGGCAGGCAGUACCAUUGAUGGAAAAUUUGCAAGGAAGGAAUUUGUUCCUAUAGCACUAUUACAAUGCAAUAAUACACAAUGCAAUUAAAGGAUCACUGUGGGUAAAAAGAGGUUGGGAGAAAAAGUAGAAACCAGUAGAAGCAAUCUAAAUAAGUGAACAAAAUCUCCAUCAUUUCCUUAUUAAAGAGUAAAAGGCAUUGAAGAGGUUAUUUCCUGCCUUCGAAUACUCUGCAGAGUAGAAACUGAAAUAAGUAGGGACUUGGGCUGAGAAAUGAUCUGUGAUAGCUAAGUCACUACAGAGAUAAAUCAGGGAUUGGAAAAAUAAAGCCAGUAAGAAUCAAGUUACAGGUAAGUUACUUAAUAUUUAUAGAGCUGCUUUUCCUCAUCUGUCAUCUCCUUCUCAUCAUUAUUAUUAUUGUCUAUAGUAUUUCUCUGACAGCACUUUGAGGAUUGUACCUAAGUGGCUAAGCUAAAUGAUGUACACGCUAUUAUCUGUAAACACGUGUGUGUGUGCACGCGCACACACACACUCUCUCUCUCUCUCUCUCUCUCUCUCUCUCUCUGUUAGAUUUAUUUCUACUUUCUACAUUUUUCAGACCUGAAAUCAAUCUAAGAGCUUGGGCCUAUCUAGUCUACAGGAGGAUGAAAGUUGUAAAGUAUUAGGUUGAAUCAUGUGAAAUUGUCUUUGUAAGUCAAAAACAGCCAAACAUCAGUCAUUUCAUAUGAGUCAACAUGGAAAAUUCUAGAUGUAUCACAAAACGUAAUGAAAUGUUAUCCAUUAUCUGGUAGUAGUUACCAAGAUGAAGUUUCAUGCUGGAAGAAAUUAAAAAGUCCUUCUGAGGUGUGUCUUUUGUGCCAGGCAGAAGCCACCCUGGGCUCUUAGCCAUUGGCCCUGUCUGAAAAUCAGAAGACCUGUGUUUUACUUAGGUCUUCAUUAAAAGAUGUGAUAAUUAAUUAAUACUCUCCCCCACUCUGUAUCUUUUUAAAAAUUUCUACUAGUCAAAUAAAUAAAUGUUGAAGGGCUUUGAAAAGCUAAAAAUUAUGUUAAAGUAACCACAUCAUCAUUUCGAAGUGUAGGGGGAAUAGAUUGAAGGCUCUUCAGAAACAGGAGAAUGGAAUCUUGAAUAAUAGAACCCACUCAGAUUUCUCAAUUCAUUCAGAAUAGUAUAUCCACUAGCUAAUACAGGUAGGAGAUUUCUCCCCUUAAUGUGAGAAUGGGCCUGCAGAGCUUGGCUUAGAUAAAAAUGGAGACAUAAUCUGGAUGAUACCAUAUUUUUUUAAAAUUAACAAUAACUGUCGCUUUGUGCUGAGAACUGUAAGGAACAAAUGGUUCUGUAUGUCACCAGUUUUAAUGGAGACAGGUGGUGUGCUCGGCUCUGCCCUGGGCGCUUUCCUCACUUGCAGAGACUGCUAGUGUUGCCAAAUUCCAAGGUGGUUUAAGGCUGCACCAAUGAAAGCUCCAACCUGCUUCUCCUGUGAACACAGUAGAAUCUAAUCACAACUCAUUCAGGAUUGGAUUCUCAAGCAACUGGGGUCCUCAGAGAUGCUUGGAUUGCAUUUUGCUAGCUGGUAUUUUUUCACCAGACAAUGGGGCUUCAGUCAAGCUCUUUCAGGACUUUUGCUGAGAUUUUACUUGGAGGGGAAAAAACUUUACGAUAGAAUUUGAAGAACACAACGUGAAGAAGGCAUAUGCCAUUUGGACCAGCAUUUUUUAUUUUACGUGAGAGUGAUGUGGAGGGUUUUGGGGAAAGGGUGGCUAGAUGGCAGGCACAGAGAGUGGAGAAAGAAACUACAAGCCCUUUCCCUGUGCCAGGUACUGGGCCGUAACAGUGCAUGCAUUAUAGCGUGGAUUUUUCACAGCGUCCUAUGAGUCAGGGGGCAUUGAGACCCAUCUUAGGGAUAAAAAGACUGAGCUCUGACAGCAGAGCACUCUAGGCAGUACUUUGGUGUCAACCCCUGACCGCAAAGAAAUGAGGUCAUGACUUUUUUUUUUUUACCAUGGCUUAGUCCUAGAUUAAACUACAGCCUGGAAAAAUCUAUUUGUCACAAAAAUUAUGUAUUGAUCUCCUUGUUUGAUCCAGAAAAAUUGCUUUAAGGUACAAGGGGCUACAUGAAUUGGAAGUUAAAUCUAUUAUUAUUUUUUUUCAUUUAAGAAAACCUGCCCUUUAGAGUUGGCCAUUUGUUUCCAGCUUUUGUGAUUUCCUCAUCUUGGAGCAAAACUUCUUCAUUCUGCGAAGACCCACUUGAGUAGCCUCUUUUAGCUACGUAGAUAUAAAGCUAGUACCUCCUACUCCAGAGUUUGAGAAACCUGGAGGUCCGUACAUGGGUAACACUGGUCAUAAGUUUUCAUACAAAGCUGAAAGUGAUGAGCUGAUUUGCUUAACACCUCUUAAGGAGCAACCCAUCAUAUUCUGUUUCCCUCUGAGGCUCUGACUUGUUCUCAUGGCUAGGGAUCUGGGUGUCACACAGCACUGGAGUUGUCAGAAGGGAGGUUGCUGAUGCUGAAACUUCUUUGGCUAACCUGCCUUGGCAGAGCAUCUGGCCUGAAAUGACUCUGAGGAUGAGUGCGUUUGUGCGUGUGUGCGUGUGUGUGUGUGUGUGUGUGUGUGAGUGUGAAUUUCAAGAGCUGUGUCAACAAGCAGCUCUAAUGCUGGGAAUGCAGGCCUACUUUGGGGUAGAGUCCAAGAAAGUGAGGCUGGGAGAGAACAAUCCUCACCCUCUGCUGCCUUGCUGGUAGCAGUGCGGGGCCUUGGUUCCCAGGACUCUUGUUGGCACUGAUAACCCGUUAGGCCCUUGUGUUCUGAGAUGCCUGCUAGCUGGCAGGCCCUGGCACUGGAGGACUGUGUUUUUAGCAGCACCACUGUGGGUGUCUCUGUGGCAGAGCAUGGGACACUUAACCAAUUGAUUCAACUGUCUUCUUCCUCUUCUCCAAAGAGACAGUAGCCACGUCUGACUACUUGGAUUGAAUAGGGGCUCCUAAGAUUCCCAUUCCAUCAGACUAGGGUUUCUCAGGAAGAAAGGCAUUUUUAUUACCAAAUGAGGACUCGAUCUUGGAGUUAUAUUGUUUUUACAUCAAAAUGUGGUGAAGACGCACUUGUCUUCCUAAUAAAAAUCCUUGGAUUUUAAACAUUCCUUUGAAUUCCUCGAUGCUGUUUGCUUUCCUCCUCUUAGAAAAAUGGGAGUCUAGCACACUUGCUUAGCAACUUCCAUUGUGGUUUAUAACGCUGUUCACAAAUCAAUUGCUAAAACUAUGUUAUCACCAACAGAUAGGUAAAAAAUGAAAAUAAUUUGAAUUUAGUUUGUUCCAAAAAUUUUUGGCAGCUGUUUUGAAAGCUCUAGUUCUUUCCCUUCAUCAGGCAUUCCAACUGCUUUUUAUCUUAGAUACGUUAUAUACUACUGAACACACACAUAUAUGUUCUAAAAUUAGCAUCAUGAAUAUAUUAUUUUAUAUCCUAAUUUGUUCCCCCAUAUAAUAUUAUUUCAUUAUUAUUUUUCAAAAACAUGACUUUUAAUGGCUGCAUUCGCUUGUAUAAAUGUGCCGUGGUUUAAUUAAGCAGUGUGUUGGACACAAUGGGCAUUUCCAUCUUCAUCAUUAGAAAGCAUUCGAUGGUGAACAAACUUGCACCUGAAUCUCUGUGAUCUUCUCUGAUUAUUCCUUUAAGGUGGACUCUUGAAUAUGAAAGUUUUAGAUUGGAGAGCAAGUUUAAGCAUCUCCAUACCUAUGUCACACAGUUCCAGAUAAGAAUGUGAAGCUUACCAUAUUCUUGCCAACAUGUAUUCUAAUUUUUUAAAAAAUGGUUGCCAACUUGAUUUGUAAAAAACGUGUAACUUUACUCUUCCUCUCUUUUUUUUUGCUUUGAUUGCCAUUGAGUUAAACUAUUUUAUUUUACUGAUACUUUGUAUUUAGUGAAAUAUCUAAUAAUGUUCUUUAUUUUUUCCAUCAGAGUAUUUACCUUUUAUUAUUACAUUAUUUGCAAGUGUUAUUUAUAUUUUAGGGAUAUUAGCUCUUUGUCAUAAUCAUAGCAAGAAUGUUCCUAAAAUUUUUAUGCUGUUCAUUAACAUACAAAAGCUUUUCUUUUCACCCAGUCAAACCUAUCAGUUUAUUCUUUUUGAUCUAUUUCAUUUUAUUAAGUGACAAAUAUGAGUAAUGUAGGAAUAACACAGCACAGCAUUGCUAUUCCUUACAAAUUAUUCAGGCAAUAGAAAAUCUUUUCCAAAAAUAAGUGUUUUUACUUUCAAUCUGCUAUUGCUCUUUUCUCAUGCUUGAGAAGAAGUGGGCAUUCCUAACACACUCCUUAAGAAGCCUUUUGGAGUCACUCUUCCUUCCGUGUUUCCCAUUCUGUGCUGAAACAUUUUCUAUUUUUAUGAAAUAUGUGUGCUGCCAUACCUAUUUUCCUGUGAGACAUCAUUCUUCUCCCCCUGCAGGCUUCUGAGCAGAGGAAAAAAAGAAAAAGAAAAAGAGACAUCAUUCUUCUUUCAAAAUUAGGCAAAUCCUUGACUGUCCUCAUGGAUAAUUUCGAUUUCUGUAAAUGUUUAGACAUUUAGACAACUGUUUAGACAUUUUAAUAUGGUAUUUGUGGCAGAGAUUGACUCGCUCUUCAUCAAACAUAUCCUCUUCCUUCUGGUUACACAGCUAAGUCUCUGGGUUAUGGCACAUAAAAUGACUGUAUGAGCAGAAGUCAUGUGUGCCAGUUCCAAACUUGGCCCAAACCACACCUUUGACCAGGCACUGUCCUCAUACUGUUUCUAUGGUGGCUUUGGAAGCCCAGCAGUGGAGUGGUGGAGCCACACGAUGGAAGGCUACUGGGACCCUGAGUCAUCACCAGUCAGAACCUUGCCUUUGAAUCUGUGCAAGGGAGAAAUAAAAACUUCUCUUGGAUUGCACCAAUGAAAUUCAGAGGGUUAUUGGUUAUAGAAACUGGUGUUACCUUAACUAAUACUGUAUUCUUGUGGUCAAGUUAGAGAAACUUUAGAUUUGUAAUAGAUGAUAUCAUUGGAUGCAAAGAAAGUAGAUUAAUAUAAGCUGAUGUCAAAGCGGAGGGAUAUGUCUAGAGGCAUGCCACUGAGUUCUGUCCUUCUAUUCACAGGUGAGAGGUGGUCAGCAGUCUGGAAACUCUAGAAUAAGAUAGUUUGAAGAGAGCCAUGAUCAAUAUUUUCAUAUAUCUCAAGAUUUUUUAAUGCAUGGUUUAAGAGAAGAUCAUUAUAACUAAUGACUAGAAAUUAAAGAAAAGCUUAUUUUAGCUCAUAACAAAUAAUUUAAAAUAAUAGGUUGUACUGCCUUGGAAACACAUGAUGUUCCAUUCAUUAUAAGAAGCUGGUUAUUUCCUGUCAUGGAUUUUUUUUUUUUUUUUUUUUUUGGUAGAGACCAUUUCCUUUACGUAUCUAAGAUUCAAUGAGACUGUGAACUACUGUAUGACACUCUUAUCAUGAUUGACUUCUUAGUGAUAUCUUUCCAGAUGGUUUCUCUCUUCCUGAGAUUGUGGGGCUGAUAGGCUGUGUUUGUGAUGCCCUCAUUUGAAUUCACAGUAGCUUGUUUUGCUAAUAAGGAACUUACCUUUUAGAUCCACUGUUAUCAGGUUUGUUUUUCCG
This is a non-coding RNA of Callithrix jacchus (white-tufted-ear marmoset), 58894 nucleotides long. Lineage: Eukaryota; Metazoa; Chordata; Mammalia; Primates; Cebidae. The record is from RefSeq and is a predicted model, not a curated record.